RNAcentral lists this long non-coding RNA (65389 nucleotides) under Triticum aestivum (bread wheat). Its description in RNAcentral is "long non-coding RNA (TAES_LNC008535)". The record is from RNAcentral. Lineage: Eukaryota; Viridiplantae; Streptophyta; Magnoliopsida; Poales; Poaceae.
UGAGGAUCUCGCAGAUAGCAGCGACACGAUAUUCUUUCUACCGGAGAUCAUGUGGCAUCGACCCAUACAAUAUCCCCCCUUAUCCCUGUCAAAGAUGUAGACAUGGGAAUUGCCUGAAAACCGAAGGGGCGCUUCCGAAAAGUUUCGCCAGUUCACGGCAAAACGCGCCCGCUGUUAGGGUUUGUAAUAUGUUCAUUAGACAAAGUUUUGGGUCUUCAUUAUUUUGUUGUUGUUGAGGGAAUUAGAUCUUCAUUUGUUGGUGUAAUAACUGUAGCUGAAGACGGCUGUUGUCUGGCAAUCAAUGGUGAAAGGGCUUUUCAUGAAACUGUCCGUGCCGCGUCUCAGACGGAGGGAGGGAGCCUUCGGGUUUAAGCAUUACGACCCACUUAAGUAUGGCAGCAAGAGGUUGGGGGGAAUGAAGCAGGAAAGGCGCCGUCGCCAUUGCUCAGUGUCGCAUCAGGCCUGUUCUCCUCGGCUAGGUUAACAGUCGCCGUCGGCCGCGCGCGGUUAGCCGGACGGCCCUACGGCGCGUGACCACAGCACGGAGUGGACGGGACGGGACGGAACGGCGAUGAUGUAUCAUGGGAUGGAGGCAUAGCGAGUCGUCGCUGUCGUGGCGGGUGAGGGAAACAGCAGGGCAGCCAUGAAUGCGCGCGCUGGUGGUAGGAGGUAGGUGGUGGUAGGUUAGGGGGUGGUGGUGUGCGGAUACCGGAUAGUGAUGAAAUCGGAUGAUGGACGGAUGGAGGCCUGCCUGCCUGAUAACGCUGCCGUCCUUCGGUCCUGCGAUCCUGCCUCUCCGGCUUUAAAUCUCGCACAGAGGAAACGCGUUGUCCGAGCCCCCAAAAACAUUCAAGUCUUCUCCAUGGGCUGCUCUACGCGUGAAACGUUUGAGUCGCCCACAACAGGCCGCCGGAAUGAAAUCUUUGGCUCAAAGUGGAAUUCCAGUUCCAUUUUCCGGGAGCUGUGGUACAACAUGAUGCAUCUUCAGAAAGUUCGCAGCAUGCUAUGCAUCUUGUGCUGAGAGGCGGACACGUACUCUGGACUUAUCAAAUCAUGCGUGUGGGCUGCCUCUUCACCCUAAUCUUCCACAAUCAUGUUGUGCGAUACUAUUACUCAACAAAUCAUCACUUGCGACAUUGUCUUCAGAUCUCACAUCUUGCGGCUCCACGAACAAUAUCCAAAUGAGCUUGGAACACUCCAAAGGGCCCCUCAACAUCCUUCCUAGCAGCUUCUUGCAUUUGUGCAAAGAGAUGUCAUUUGUUACGUUAGGGAUUAAUAAAUUAAUAAAUUAAUUUAUCGUAUGAAGUAUGGGUUCGGUUGGAGACACUCUUUACAGAUUAUUCAUCCACUAGUUCCCCUGAAUUUUGCAUAGAACCCAAUAACAAAAUGAUGCCACACCAUUUUAUAACUUUCAUCCGUAAUCCCACCAUCCGUAAGUGUAACACAAAACUCUUUACAACAACAAUUAAUAGAAACGAGAUUCCAUGUUUGUAGUGGAUAAUGAUGGUCGGGCCGGUGGGCUUGUUUUAUUUUACCAUAAAGUGAAUAAAAUCCAGUUGAACUUUGUUUCUUCCCAUGCUAUUGAUAUUUUUUUCAUGCCCGAGGAUGUUGUACAAUGGCGAUUUAUGGUCUUUUAUGGUCACCCGGCUUUGUCUGAACGUCAUAUGUCUUGGGAUGAUAUCUGUAACUUACAUAAAAAGAGUGACCAUCCUUGGUUGUUCUAGGAGAUUUUAGUGAAACUGUAUACUCAUCUCAAAAAGAGGGCGGUAAUGCGAGACCAAAUGAUAUGAUGAAGAAUUUCCAUGACUGUCUCAUGAAGUGUGGUCUGUAAGAUUUGGGUUUCGUUGGUGACCCUUUUACUUGGAGGAGAGGUGAUAUCACGGAAAGACUUGACCUAGAAAUUUGUCAUGUCGAGUGAGAAAAUUCCCUUAUGUUGUGGUUAUAAAUGAGGAACAUGUGCAUUCUGACCACCUUCCUUUGUUUCUGCAUGAUGAUUAUUUUGACGAUAAUAUGUUUACUCGUCUAAAGGAUCGUGUAAAAUAGGUUGAAGCUGGAUGGCUCAAAGAAGAGACAACUGAGAAAAUUGUGAAGACGGCUUGGGAAAAGGCCAAAAUGGCGAGUGUUGGUCCAUCUCUUGUAGUGCGCACUCGGACGGUGCACGCUGAUUUGUAUUCUUGGAAUCGAUAGUCCGAGGGACCGAAACGACGAAUCAAUUUGUUUUUUUAAUAAUGAAUUUGCGGUGUGGUCCUAUGAAUGCAGAGCCUAUUUAACGACAGAAGGAAGUUCUUGUUCUCAAUGAGCAUCUUUUGGAUCAAGAAGAAACUUUCUAGCUUCAUAUAGGUCCUGCAAAUUGGCUGAUGCAUGGGAUCAUGAUACAUCAUUUUUCCAUAGUGCAACUACAGCCAGAAAAAAGGAGAAAUAGUAAAAAAAACACUUCUUGAUGACAUGAGUGUUUGGCGACAAGGUACGGAACUGAAGUAUCAUAUCACGAGCUAUUUUCUAAUCCUUUUACCUUAGAAGUUUUGCAACUGUACCGGGAAGUUUUAUGUCUUGUUCAAAGAAGAGUGUCUGGUGGGAUCAAUAAUGCCCUCCUUGCACCUUACUCUACAGUAGAUGUUCGAAAGACUCUUCCGCUAUUGGAGAUUUAUAAGCUCAGGACCAGAUGGAGUCAAUGCUAUUUUUUGUAAAGAUUUUGGCCCAUAUUAAGGAAUGGUCUCAUUGAGGAGGUUCUGCAAUUGGUGAAUACACAUACUAUUCUGUCAGGAUGGAAUGAUACUGUGAUUGUGAUGAUCCAAAAGGUUAAUUAUUCAGAGAAGGUAAACUCAAUUUAGAACAAUCAGUUUGUGUAAUGUGGUGUACAAGAUUAUCACGAAAAUGGUGGCUACUCAUUUGAAGGUUUUUCUGCCAGACAUCAUCAGUCUGGCUCAAAGUGCAUUUGUGCCCAAAAGAAUGAUUGUGGACAAUGUUUUAGUGGCUUAUGAGUGCUUCCAUACAAUAAAGAACAAGAGAGAAGGCAAAGGUGGUAUGUGUGAAAUUAAACUUGAUACGCAUAAAGCUUAUGAUAGGGUUGAGUGGUAUUUCUUGAAGAACAUUAUGUUGAAACUUCGCUUCCAGGAGAAUUGGGUCAAUUAGAUUAUGCAAUGUCUAUCCACUAUUGAAUACAGAGUUUGGUUUGAUAUAGAAGAAAGUGAGAGUUUCAAGUGUACGAGAAGUUUAAGGUAGGGAAAUCCCUUGUCUCCUUAUCUUUUCUUGUUAUGUAUGGAGGGUCUAACUGCUCUCUUAACUCAUGCAGAGGAGGAUGAAAUGAUUUCUGGAGUGAAAGCUUGCAGAGAUGCCCCCUCUAUCAUCAAUCUUCUCUUUGUCGAUGACUUGUUGAUCCCCAUGAGAACUAAUAUUUACAAUAUUGAGGCUUUGAAGUUAGUUAUGGACUCUUAUUGUGCAGCUUCGAGCCAAUGGUGACUGCCGAUAAAUCAAGCAUCUUUUUUAGUCCUAAUAUGAGUGUGAAAACUAGAGAACAAAUGUGUACCACUCUAAAUAUCAUGACCGAGGCUCCAAUGACAGAUAUUUAGGUUUUUCCAGCCAAUAUGGUUUUGGAUAAACUGGUUGUUUUCGGUAUCUGAUUGAUCGUAUUAUCAUGAAAAUCAGUGGUUGGAAGGAAAGAAUAUUAUUUGCUGGAGGGAAGGAAAUUCGUCUCAAAUAUGUUAUUCAAGCUAUUCCCACAUAUGCAAUGUCGGUCUUCAUAAAUGGAUUUGUGAAAGAAUUACUGACGUGAUAUCACAUUUUUUGUGCGGAGACGAGGACAAUCAGAGAAGGAUGCAUUGUAUGGAUUGGCGGAAAAUAUGUGUCCAAAAAAUCAAGGAGGUAUGGUUUUUUUUGUGAUAUUCAUUGCUUUAAUAUGGCAAUGCUGGUAAAACAGGCUCGGUGUCUUCUUGAGAACUCUGAUUCUAUAUGUACCACUGUUUUGAGAGCUAAGUAUUUUCCUGGUGUUAAUUUGUUGAAUAGCAAGUUAAAAAAGGAUCCUCGUUUACUUGGCAAAGCAUUGCGGCGGGGGUUAAUUCUGUUAAGCAUGGUUAUAUGUGGCGAGUUGGGAAUGGUCAGCAUGUUAAUAUUGGGAUGAUGCUUGGAUCUAAAAUUAUGCUAAUCGAAAAGUUACCACUCCUAAAGGGUCAUUUGUUAUCUAAGGAUGUUAGAUUUAUUGGUCUCGUUUAAAAUAAUUGGGAUGAAAAUCUGGUCAGACAAACGUUGUGCCAAUUGAUUCACAACGAGAACACACUAUCCAUCUUCCUCAACACGAGAUGUCAGAUUUUGUCGCUUGGAAUUACACAAAGACUGGGAUGUUUUCGGUUCAAUCAACCUAUUUCAUGGAAUGGGAUCAUCAACAUGGGAGAAAAUUGUGACAUACUAAUGGUAUGUGACAAACCAUAGUUAAUCCUACUUGGUGUAAGAUUUGGAAGCUUUUGUGCCUGACAAAGGUUAAAAUUUUCAUUUGACGUAUGUUGCAUGUCACCCUCCUAUUCCGUGUUACGCUUGCGAAUAGACAUCUGAAAGUCUUGCUCCAAUGUCUUUCUUGUUAUUCUGGUCCAUAAGAUACAAAGCACUCGUUGUUUCUUUGCCAUAAAGAAAGGGAGGUUUGAAGAAGGUUGGGGAUGGACGAAAUUAUUAAUAAAGCAUGUGAAGUUGAUUGUUGGAGUUCUUCUUUCGCCAGACCAUGCCUUGUCUAUUAUGGGUCUUUAGAAUGUUUGUGAGAUGAUCAUCAUUUCUGCUUUGUAUUUGUGGUGGAAAAGGUGUAAACUAUUUCACGAGGACAUAAUUUAAUAUGCUUAUUAGAUUACUAUGGGGAUUCAUGCUCUAACAGCUAACUAUGUUAUUGCUUCCUCUCCAAAUGUUUCCAUGAAAAUAGGGGGUUGGAUCUGCCCCCUUGGAUUUUGUUAAACUUAAUAUUGAUGCAUCUUUUGAUCAAGAUUUGCUUAGAGGCAUCGCUGGUUGGUCCCGAGGGACGAUAAAAGGUAAACCCAUUGCUAGGGAAAUAUGAAAAUUCAUUGGUAUGCGGAUGUCUUGACGGCUGAAGCCUUGGCGCCUAGAUUCGGGCUUACCCUUGCGCAAUGGGUGGGGUACAAUCAUCUCAUUAUUAAUUUGGGUAAUCUGGAGGUCAUUGACACCAUCAAGAAUGGAGGGCGAUCAAUGGAACGGCGGCUGUAGUUUUCAAUGACUGAUAUUACUUUGCUUGUGAUUUUCCUAUAUCUAGUUUCGAACAUUGCAGAGAAACAAAUAAGGUUGCUCAUGAACUUACUAGGUUUGCUAGAAUUUCCUUCGACCGUUGAUUGGUUUGAGGAGCCUUUGAAUGAAAUUAUACCCAUCUGCAUAAACAAUUUAAUUGGUAUUUCAUAAGUUGCUCAUGAGCUUGCUUGGUUGGCUUGAUUUUCUUCGAAUGAUGAUUGGUUUGAGGAGCUUUGAAUUAAAUUAGACCCAUCCUCAUGAACAAUCUAAUUGGUAUUUCAAAUGAAUAAAGUUUCUCAGCUUUUUUUAUAAGGAUGUAAGUUUUUUUAAGGAUAUUGCCAUUGAUUCAUUAAUCAUAAGUCACAGUACAACCGUACGACGCACACACAUGGAAUCAUCCAGAAAAGGCCGAAGGAAGGUAUGAGUCUAAGAACAUUUGCAGAUCCCCUCUCCUAAAAAAAUAUACAAGAAAGACCCUAGGAAUCACUACAAUCGCCAUCGCCACCACGUGCCAUUGUCAGAGUUGAAAAAGUACCACUGUUUGAUUAGGCUUUGUGAGCCUAUUGAGAGGCCCGUCGUUGGCGGAGCCAAAUUUGUUGUGGCGCAUCGAACGGGGNNNNNNNNNNNNNNNNNNNNNNNNNNNNNNNNNNNNNNNNNNNNNNNNNNNNNNNNNNNNNNNNNNNNNNNNNNNNNNNNNNNNNNNNNNNNNNNNNNNNNNNNNNNNNNNNNNNNNNNNNNNNNNNNNNNNNNNNNNNNNNNNNNNNNNNNNNNNNNNNNNNNNNNNNNNNNNNNNNNNNNNNNNNCCGCAUAAGUAACUACUGCAUCGACGUUAUCCAAGCACAACACAAGAACCGUCAUCCAUAGAUCAUCAUCUUAGUCGUUGGACCGACACCUUCCCACACAAAUGGAAAAUGUCUCUUAGGGAAACCACCACCAGGCCACCAGAGGACACCACAUCUGUUGCACCAAAGGAACAACACAAAAGACAACCUCCCACGAAUCCCUCAACCCCACCGCAGUGGCGCUGCCGAGACGAGGGCAAAAUCGAGGAAAAAAUAUUCCAAUUAUUGAGGUCGCUGUCAUCAAAACGACGACGAGGGAAACACACAUUCUAAUCCUAACUGCACAACUAAGGUGAAGAUCCCAGACCCCCCCUCCCCCUCACUCGUCGCUAGGGCGGCGGAGGAGGAGAGAACCCGCGGCCUUGCUGGCUGAAGAGGAGAGAACCCACAGCCUCGUCGGCAGAAGAGGAGAGAACUGGUCGCGGUCUUUUCACCUUAUAGGGAGCCUGGUGUGACUUGACGUACUGCCCGUAUGACAUUACGUGAAUGCUAGUGGCUUUCGAAUCCUCCCUGAAGGUUGCUGGUUUUUAUUAAUUAAGUGAUAUUUGCUAUAGUGAUUAAAGAAGGAUUUCGCUACAAAUCAAAUGUUAGAUUUUUAACAUGAAAAACCAAAUAUUUUUAUAGCAAAUUAUGUUUUCGCGAGGAUGACAAGCAUUUGUCACGAGGAUGGCUGACAAAACGCUUGCCAUCCUCGUGACAAUAUAAUUGGUCAUAAAAAUGUUUGAGUAGUCAUGCUUAAAAAUCUUUUAACAUUAUUACAGUUAAGCCCUUGCAUCUUCAUCCGCAAAAGAAAAGAAAAGGUCUUGCAUCUUUGUUAGUGGGGAUUAAACGGACGUGAUGUAUUUGAGCCCAAGCUCAAAUAAGCUCGGGUGAACAGUAACCCCGAAAACAACUUAGAAAAAUUCAAAAAAUUAUGGAUUUUUUUGGGUGCAAACAUUGACAAAAGUUCUCAAUGCUCACAAAAUUUCAACACAAAAUAACAUUCGUGGAAGUUGCAAAAAAAAAAAACAAAAUCAAUGCUCCAAAAAUGUUAUUUCCAAAAACAUUUUGGAGUACUAUUUUUUUUUGCCACGUCUUGUGUGAAUGUCAUUUUUGGAUGAUAUUUUGCAAACACUGAGAAAUUUUGUCAAUGUUUUCAUCCAAAAAAAUUCAGAAUUUUUUAAAAUGUUUUUCAUUUUUUUGAUUUUACUGUUCAUCCAAGCUCAAAUGAGCUCGGGAGCAGAACAUGACUUUCGGGAUUAAACUCUCAUAUCUGCCCUUGAUUUAACCUCUCUUUCUCACACUGACAACUUUUACCACGCGUUCCUCCCGGCCGUCCAUCUAGGUGCUGCUGCAGGGUAUCGAUGCAGUCAUGCGAUACGAGCGCCGACUUUUCUGGAUGGUGUAAAAACCAUAAAAGCCUGACUGAAACCAUGUGCUGCACGACGGGCCCACACGUAGCGCACCCUGUGUAUCGCACUAUUACCAUCUCUGCGGAAUUGAAUUUGUGAGCUGCAGGUUCGACCAGAGAUGUCGAUAAGCAUCGACAGACAGGUAGGCAGCAGUUCGUUGUAUUGAAUCCUCUGCCGCACCGCGACGCCAGCAUGGUCCUCUCCUCAGUCAGUCAUGGAGCGCUGAACCGCUGACACAUGGCCGAGUGGCCGACGUCGCAGGCCCGUCUGAUCGGAACCGGACGGCGCAGAUCACCCGGCCGGUGUUACGUACGUACGGCGCCCUGGACGAACGGCCGUUCUAUCUAGGUCGCCGAGCCUUGACCGUGCUGUCACCGGCCGAUAAUAACAACCGCAGGCGGGCCGGCCGGCGAGUGGGCCCCGUCUGACUCACGACAUUGAAUGGAUAUGUGAGCAGUUGAGAGCUCGUCGUUGGAGCUGUCAGCCGGAGACAAACACGGAGCGUUAGGGCAACUCCAACGAGGUUCACUGAGGAUGGCAUCAAAAUGUCCACGAACACGCAGAACAUGUCUCUGGAGAGCGAAGGACGUUCAUCUAAUCGGAUGCAUCAGAUCAAAUACAGUAGAAAACACACGUUGAAUUUCAUUAAUAUUUGAUUUUUUAAAUAUUAUAGAUCACACUCAAGUUCGCCGGGCGUGGGACCUGUGCCCACGUCCUACUUUGUCAGAGUAAAUGACCACGGGUAGCCUCAUCUACUCUCAUGGUAUUUCGAGACAUCGGAGCCAGCUGCGCCCCUCAAGCCUUAAAGACGAAGAGCCGCCUUCUUUGGGCCGGCUGGUCCGAGCGGCCGGCUGCUAGAAGGCGGCAGAGCCCAGAGGGCGGCCGUGAGGUGGACUGACUCCUAGCAGGCGGCCUCCAGGGAGGCCGGCUCCUAUCAGGCGGCCCCCGCUCCCUCAAAGUUAGCACCUCAUUACAACGACGAGACGGGGCAUGGCUACAGAGCAGCCUGCCACCCCCGAAUCCAGUGCAGAACGUGGCCACAGUGCAGCGUACUGGGCGGACAUCCCUUGCCCAGCGCGGCACUAUUGCCAUGCAGCCCCUGACAUCACCCACGGCAGAGGAGGCCCUGCCCCCACUACGGGCUGUCGGUACGGCCUGCAGGCGGCGACCCCCACCUGUCCGUGAGAAGCCAGAAGGCGGCGAGCCCUGACCAGUCGGCACGGGGCAGGCCGACUCCUGGCAGGCGGCCCUCCCCCUCCCUCAAAGUCUGUGCGCCAUUAAUCAGAAGAGACGGAGAGUGGCUACAGUGAACGCCCGCCAGGCGGCGGACUGUGGCCACGCCCUCCCCGACAAAGCACACAUCAUCAGUGGCGCUGCCACAGUACUAAGUAGCCGGCAGGACCCGCAAGCGGCGGGCGCGGCAGCCGGCCCGGGGAUUCGGCAGGCGGCAUGGGGACUGCUGCAGUCGCACUCGGCCCGGGGACUUCGCAACCUGGUCCGGGCGUAGCAGCAGCCAGCCUGAGGACCUCACCAAGCGGCUCGGGGACUGCGGCAGUCGCACCCGGCCCGGGGACUUCACAACCCAACCCGAGGGCUGCAGCAGUCGGCCCAGGGACUCAAUCAACGCAGCAAGCGGUGGCUGACUCCAACCCGCCGCCUCCCAACCCAACCGCCCUAGUACAAGUGGCCGUGAUGAUAGUACAUGAAGUCGAAGCACCAUCAUGGGCGCAGCCCAUCCUCAAUUUCCUGGUGAACAGAGAGCUGCCGGCUGAUGAGAUCUCGGCCUGGCAAGUGCAACGACAAGCAGGAGCCUACACGAUAGUAAACAGAGAGCUUGUCAGACGCAGCAUGACUGGAGUCUUCCAGCGCUGCGUAGAACCAGAGAAGGGCCAAGCAAUCCUCAAAGACAUCCACCAAGGUGAGUGCGGCCACCACGCGGCAUCCAGGUCCCUUGUCGCCAAAGCUUUCCUCCAUGGUUUCUUCUGGCCGACUGCUUUGGAGGACGCCAAGGAUUUGGUCAAGCAUUGCAAGGGGUGCCAGAAAUUCAGCUCCAAGCAACAUCUGCCGGCUUCUGCACUCAAGACCAUCCCCCUCACUUGGCCCUUUGCCGUGUGGGGGCUGGACAUGGUGGGACCAUUCAAGACAGCACGCGGCGGCAUGACCCAUCUGCUUGUCGCCAUAGACAAAUUCACCAAGUGGAUUGAAGCAAAGCCAAUCAAGAAACUGAAUGGUCCGACUGCUGUGACCUUCAUCGCAGAUAUCACUGUCCGAUACGGUGUACCACACAACAUCAUCACCGACAAUGGCACAAAACUUUGCCGAAGGCGCCUUGGCCUGUUUCUGCGUGACGCAGGGCAUCAAACUAGACUUAGCGUCCGUUGCCCAUCCGCAGUCAAACGGCCAGGUCGACCCAGCAAACGGCCUUAUCUUGUCCGGCAUCAAGCCCCGACUGGUCGAGCCACUAGAGCGCUCGGCCGGCUGCUGGAUCGACGAGCUGCCAGCCGUCCUCUGGAGCCUCCGCACCACUCCGAACAAGUCAACCGGCUUCACUCCAUUCUUUCUCAUGUACGGGGCCGAGGUCGUCAUCCCAACUGACAUUGAGUUCGACUCACCUCGCGCACAAUGUACACGGAAGCGGAGGCAAAUGAAGCACGAGAAGACGUCGUUGAUCUGCUGGAAGAGGGCCGGCUGUUGGCACUCAGCCGGUCCGCCAUCUACCAGCAUAGCCUGCGCCGCUACCACAGUCAGAAGGUCAAGCCAAGAUCCUUCCAAGAGGGAGACCUUGUGCUCCGGCUGAUCCAGCGAACAGCCAGCCAGCACAAGCUCUCGGCCCCUUGGGAAGGCCCCUUCAUCAUCAGCAAAGCUUUGGGCAAUGACUCCUACUACCUCAUCGACGCACAGAAGCCCAGAGCACGCAAGAAAGACGACUCCGGCAAGGAAUCGGAGCGCCCAUGGAAUGCAAAUCUCCUCCGAAGAUUUUACAGUUAAUGAAGUAUGUAUCAUGGUACCUUCUGUUUUAAGCGCUAAGACAUCGGGUCCCUCGAGGAGAACUCAGGGGCUACCCUUUUUUAUCUAUAUGAUAAGUUCUAUACCUAUGAAUAUGUCAUUUUGUUAUUCUGCCUGGCACCGAGUUUCGACCAGUCGGCCCGGGGGCUUGUCGCCUUGUACUAUGUCGGUGCUACCUGCAGUCGAACAAGUAGUGUGCCAGCAUCUAAGCCCUCUCUUGCCAUAAGCCGCAGCUCGCAGAGCGGCUGUCCGGCUGGCAACAGUUAAAGGUAGGAAAUGGUGCCCACAUGAAAAAUGGCUAAGGACAAAAGCAUUCACAUAGGCCAAGCCGGUUCCUCGCCUCACCGACCGACUGCUGAGAAGCCGACCGGCUGGCUUCCUACUUAACUUGCUACGUUCUAAACGACCAAAGUACUUGUCUUCCCAAAACGGCUAAGUACUUGACCCAGCCACGGACCGCAGAGUGGCCGUCUGGCUGGCAAGGCGGCAACCAAGGGAAGGCGGCAAAGGAAAAAAGCCAAAAGAACGGAAAAGCUAGACAAGUCAGAACUGGGCAAAGCACAACUCGUGAGAGAAUUAAUUUACAUAGCAAAAGGCCCUCGGCCAGCAUUCAACAAAGUUUGAAUACACCCCCAGCGGGUGGAACUGCGAAAUUUAACAAGUUUGUUCGAGAGACUACAAAAGCAGGAAAAGAUAAGAUAAAAUUGGCCGACUAGGCCAAAGGAGCAGUAGGCGGGUCCGGCAGGCUGGUGGAGUCGGCGGCGCCGGCUGGCGGAGUGGCCGCCUGAUGAGUCUCGGCUUGGUCAGCGUCGGUGAUAGUCAGCGCGGUCACGCGCGGCUCAUUGCUCGAGGCUCGGUCGAGCUGAGGCUGGCCGUCCGCUCCGUCAUCCGGUGUGUCAUCUUCACCAUCCUCGCCUUCCUCGUCCUCACCCUCAUCGCUGGAGGCAAUAUCCUCCGCUGAGUCCUCGCCGUCUUCCAGGUUCAGCCCGAACCAGUUGAGCGGCACCUCGGUACCCUCCUCGUCCAGCUCGGGGAGGAAGACACCAGUAUCAGUGUACUCGGCGAUCGCUGCCGCGCGUUGAGAGAGCGCAGGCCCCACCGCUACCAACUCUUCGCUGGCUUCCUGCCGAAACGUGGCCAACUGGGCUAGGUUUAGCCCAGGAUACCACGCCUUGACGAACUCCAAGGCCCGCCGUGCGCCUGCCCGGGCUGCGGAGCCUUUCCACGCCUCGAAGCGGCCGAUAGCCACCUCUAACCAGUCGGCGGUCCGACUGGGGGUGCACGGAGCUUGAACGCCUGGCCAGAGGGCGGAAACCACCUAGGCCCUGACGCGCUGCAGACGGCGGAACGCCCGAUGAGCCGGCUGGAGACGAGCUUGAACAGCGAGAAGCUGCUCGCCGAGGGCCCGAGGGGCGUUGGGCGCGAUUUCUGCACCAGCCUGUCUUCGCUCGUCGCGGCGAGCCUCGAUGGCUUGGCUGACGGCAACGGCGUGUGUCAGAUUACGGGUUCCGGCAAACCCUUGAGGUUCGAACACUGGGGUGCGCACGAAGAUCUCUCUCUCCCAAGCUCGCUCUCACAAAGAUCUCAAGGCCUAACUCGACGAACCCAAGGAACAAGAGACAUGAGGGUUUAUACUGGUUCGGGCCACCGUUGUGGUGUAAUACCCUACUCCAGUGUGGCAUGGUGGAUUGCCUUGCAGGCUAAGGAUGAACAAGUACAAGGGACGAACAGCCUCCUGAGGAGAGGUGUUCUUGAGCUCGGCGAGCUGCUGUGUGUGAGGAUGGUCCGAAUGACCUGUCCUCUGCUAGGGUGGUGGCUAGUCCUAUUUAUAGAGGCCCGGGUCCUCUUCCCAAAUGUGUAGGCGGGAAGGGAUCCCACAACAGCCAAGUUUGAAGGGGGACAACUAGUACAAGCUAUCCUGACAAAAGGUGGUCUUCGCCUGCCAAAGGCUCUGGUGGUGACACCGCCAUGGGCUCUGCGAUGACCUCCUUCCCGCCGUCCUGCUGGUCUUGGUCUCGUUGCACCGAUAUGGAAACCUUUGCCUGACAUCUCGGGACUCCUCGCCUGCGCCCGCCCCUUUAGCACCAAAGAGGCAACUGGUGCCCUGCGCCCGCUGGCGCCUGCCUGGCCUUGGUCAUCAUGGCUUACGUCAUGCGCACCUCGCGAGGUGCCCCUUGCCUUGAUAUCUCCGCUCCUUGGGAGCCAGCCUAGUGAGGCUGCCACUUAGGAGGUCUUGUGUGGUCCGCCUCGCGAGGCUUGGCCCCUCGCGAGGGCCUCGAGUGGUUGCUGAUGAAGAUGGGCCAUACCAGGCCGUUGGCGGAGCCACGCCCUGGGCCGCAGGCAGGCAAGUCUGGGUACCCCCAUUCCCAGGACGCCGAUAGUAGCCCCCAGGCCCAAGGCACGCUCGGACUUGGCUCCGAGGCAAAGCCAAAGGGCAAGUGUGAAGCGCCGCGGGCCCCAAUAGCCUGCGGCCUUGAUUACGCAUGGCAACCGACGAGACGUGGGCGUCUCCACUUCCCCACGCUGCCUCGGCAACUGCCCGACUUGACGAGUCCCUGCUGCAUGCAGAAAAACCAUCAUUACCUGCGAUCAUGGAGGCCAGCGGUUGUCCUCCUUCUGGCUAUAAAUGAGGAGGGGGCUGGAGCCCCCGCUGCUCAUCUCUUCCUCCAUUCCGCUUGCUUCUCCUUCCUCCUCGCCCCACCGUCUUGCUGCAACACCCAUGCCGCCGACCAAGAGACUCUCGACUGCUGAGAAGUGGAAGGCUCGCCAAGAGGGGCCCGGCUCGCUGCCGCCUAAGAGGGGGCGUGGUCGCCCCUGCAAGCACGCCGCCACCCCCGCUGUGCCUCCUCGUGGGCACGGACGGACCUCCCCCGGGUCCGGCGCCACCCCUGGCAGCCGCGGCGGCGUCUCUUCGCGCGGCGGAAGCCACCCGAGGCAUGGCAGUCCUACCCACGAGGGGAGGCGCGCCAUGGUUGCCCAGCCUCCUCGGCCGCGCUUCCACUCGACGGAGGUGCUGCCGGCGUUCGUCGUGUGGUCGGAGAACCCAACCGGCACUUGGCUUCAGCUUCCGUGCUCCUUCGCCGGCGAACUGCCGGCCACGGGUCCUGGCGGCCUCUGACUGCAAGUCGACGGCUGCUGCAUCAAAGCUUCGUGGGUCGCGGUGGAGGUUUCUAUCGCGGGCAACAUAGCUCUGGCCCGCGGCUGGCAGACGUUUGCCCACGCGCGCGGUCUGGGUAGGCGGUGCACCCUCCACUUCUAGUACGACGGCAGCGCGACCCUCUUCGUGAGGGUGUUCGGGGAAGACGGUCGUCGCGCCGGGUGCUGCCCUGAAGACAACGAUGGCGACGGCCGUGACGAGGACGAGGGUGAAUUCUCCCUUGGCGACGGUCGCGGUUUGUCCGGCUACGAUAGCUCCUCCUCCGGCGAGAGUUCCAGCAACGGUGGCUACGACCAACCGCCACGCCGUCGGGCCUGCUUCGAGCACGUUGGCGGGUCGUCCCAUCGCCGGGCCCCGGUGAAGCACGAGGAGGGCUCCGGCUGAGUCCGAGGAGCUGACCCUCGUGAGAAGCCGUGUCGUAGGAGCCGCCUUUGCUUGUCCCUUCCUUUCCUUCCCUCCUGUAUCGCAAAAACAAGAUUGGGGCCCUGCGAGGGCGUGUAAUGAACCGCAAUGCUUAUGCUACUUUGUGCCGUGUUUAUUAUUUCCGGGUUGUGCUGUGGAACCGGUGUCUUAAGCAGGCGUAGAUGGGUUACUUAGCUGAGUACAUCCGGGGUAGCUUCCACCUCGUGAGGGUGCGCGCCUUCGGGCGUCUGGUGGGGCUUCCCUACCUCCGACUAGGGCGACACCGUGAAGCUGCAAAAGAUUCGUUAGGAAAUUUGUAUCCCUCCUUGCGUGAGGCCUCAAGCAUGGCCUGAUCAUGGCCUAGCGCACCACGUCGCGGUACCCGUGGGGCAUGGACUUAAAAAAGGGGGUGCGCCGAUCACAAGCUCAGACGAGGGCACCCCACGGAGACUAGGGGAGUGCGCACGCACGCACAGUCAUCCUGUAGCCCCCGCGCGGGGCGUGCGAGGGAGAACAUCAGGCAACUGCCGCCCUCCCUGGCGCAAAACAAAGAAACGAGGGAAGAAUCAGAGAGAAGAGGGGGUUCAACCAAGUCAUCCAUAAACGCCAGAACUUCAAAUUCCAUUAAAAUAGGGGGGGGGCAAACCAACUACAGAAAGCAAAUGAACAGCUGCGUCAGGCACCUAGUCUACUCUUCUCACCAGCGCGGAGCUAAGUGCUGCCACUAGGACGUGGGAGGGAGCCCCCGAGGCCCGAGGGCGGCACUCCGGAGACUCCGGGGCGUGUACAGCCCCACUCAUUAUUAGGUGAGAGUGUCACGAGCGGAGACCUUCACAGGCACUGGCCUUGCUUCAUGGGUAGAACUUCCGGAGGUGCUGGAUGUUCCAGGCGUUCUGGAUGGGGAUCCCGUCCUGCGUCUACAGGCGCCAGCGCCAGGCCUGGAGACACGGGCAAUCCUAAACGGGCCCUCCCACAUGGGUGAGAGCUUAUGCAGCCCUUCCCUGGAGAGCACCCGCCUCAGGACGAGAUCGCCUACCUCCCAGGACGCUGCGACAGUGGUACCGUCGCAGCACCUGCUGGUACCUUGCCGCUCAUAGCGAGGCUUCACGGCGGCGUUCCUCCCCCAGCACAAGGUCCACCCCCUGCAUGGCAUCCUGAUGCGUCUCAUCAAACGCCAGGACCCGCGCGGAGCGAUGCCUGACCUCGUGAGGGAGAACCGCUUCUGCUCCAUAGACGAGGAAGAACGGGGUCUCGCCUGUUGGCUUGGUGGCGGUGGUGCGGAUGGACCACAGCACGGACUGGAGCUCAUCGUGCCAGCCCCUGCCGCAGGCCUCGAGCUUCUUCUUGAAGGUCCUGGUCUUGAGGCCUCUUAAGACCUCGACAUUGGCGCGCUCGGCUUGGCCAUUGCUCCUGGGGUGCACCACCGAGGCGUAGCAAAUAUGCGUUCCGAGGUUAGCACAAUAUGUCUUGAAGAGAUUGCUAGUGAACUGCGAGCUGUUGUCGGUGAUGAUGCGAUUAGGGACCCCAAACCGGCUCACAAGACCCUUGACGAACUUGACCGCGGACCCGGCUGGAAUGGUGCGGACAGCUUCCACCUUUGCCCAUUUGGUGAACUUGUCGAUGGCGACGUAGAGAUAGCGGUAGCCCCCGAGCGCUUGAGGGAACGGACCCAGGAUAUCCAACCCCCAGACCGCGAACGGCCACGAGAGUGGGAUAGUCUGGAGGCCUUGGGCCAGCUGGCGGACUUGCUUGGCAUGGAACUGGUAGGCCUUGCAAGACCUUACCAGCUCGGCUGCGUCAUUGAGUGCCGUGGGCUAGUAGAACCCGCUACGGAACGCCUUGCCAACCAGAGUGCGUGACGACGAGUGAUGCCCGAAGUCUCCGCCGUGUAUGUCAGCUAGCAGCUCACUCCCCUGCUCCCUGGAGAUGCAUCACAAGGAAACGUCAUUUGGUCGUUUUCUGUAUAGCUCACUGUCUUGGAUGCAGUAUGCCGUAGCCUGUCAGGCCACGUGCUCCGCGUCCUCCUCUUUCUCUGGCAGCGUCCCUUGCACCAGGUAUGCCUUGAACUCCUUGGUCCAGCACUCCUCCCGAGGCUCGAGCGCCAGGAGCAGGCGUGCUCCUGAGGUCAGGCCGCAGGCUGGGGCUCCCGAGGCUGGUGGCUGGGGGAGUUCCUCCUGAGGCGAUGCCGGCUCCGCAGACGUGGUUGCUACCGACGGCUUGAAGAGUCGUUCCUCAAAGACGCCGGGCUCCUGAGGCACGCGCCUGGACGCCCUUUUGGUGACGUCGUCGGCAUCCUUGUUCGUGCCGCGAGGCACAUGCUGUAGCUCCAAGACCAAGAACUGCUUCUCCAUUUUGUGCACCUCUGCAAGGUAUGCCUCCAUGUGCUCGUCCCUCGUCUCGUACACCUUGUUGGAGAAGUUGACGAGGAGCUGUGAGUCGCCCUUGAUGGUGAGACGCUUCACCCCAAGGCCGCUGCGGCCUUGAGGCCGGCAAUCAACCCCUCCUACUCCAUGAUGUUGUUGGAGACCUUCUCACCCCGCUGGAAGCAGAGCUGCACGGCGUAGUAUAGCUUGUCUUGGGUGGGGGAGAUGAGCACGGCGCCGGCCCCCGCACCUUGGCGCGCGAAAGCGUCGUCGAAGUACAUGAUCCAACCAUCUGGCGCUUCACUUCCUGGCGAGAGGGAUCGGCUUUCGCCUGCUUCGGGCUCCGGAGCGUCGGUCCAUUCUGCCAUGAAGUCGGGGAGCGCAGCUCCCUUGAUGACCCUGGUUGUGCUGAACUCCAGUUGAAACACUUGCAAUUCGAUGUUCCACUCGGCGACUCUUCCCGCAGCGUUAGGGCUCUGGAGUACCCUCUACAGUGGGUAGGCCGAGACGACCUUGAUUGGGUGGCCUUGGAAGUAAUGACGCAGCUUGCGCGAGGCCACUAGAAGCGCGAGCAAGCCCUUGCAUCCCGUAACACCGUGCUGACGAAGUACACCGGGUGCUCGACGAGGGCGGGAGCAUCGAUGGAGCCUGCGGCUUCCGGAGGUUGUGACGCCUCCUGAGGUGUGGGAACCUCAGGAGCUUGGUCACCCAUCGGGGCCUCCGCAGGCCCAGGAACGCCAUCUUGCAGGGCCUGAUCAUCUGCGGGCAUCGCUGUGGCUUUAGCUGCGCCGCCUUGGUGCCGCGGCGUCCCAGCUGAAGGUUUGGCAUUACACGGCGCGCUCUUGGCCUGGCGCUCCUCUCGGACGGCCACCAACACCGCGCUGGCUGAGUGGGGCGUGGCAGCCAGGUAGAGCACCAGGGGCUCGAGGGGACGAGGCGCUACCAUCACCGGAGGUCAGUCAAGUAUCUCUUGAGGUCUUGAAAUGCCAGGUCGGCCUCUAGGGUCCAUUCGAAUGGGCCCUUCUUCUUCAUCAGCCUAAAGAAUGGCAGGGCGCGCUCCCCCAACUUGGAGAUGAAGCGCCCCAGCGAGGUCACGCAGCCUACUAGCUUCUGCAUCUCCUUGAGGGGUUGCGGCGGGCUCAUGUAUUCUAUUGCUUUAACCUUCUCCGGAUUGGCCUUGAUCCCCCUAUGUGACACGAGGAAGCCCAACAGCUUGCCAGGGGGGACACCAAACACGCACUUCUCCGGGCUGAGCCACAGGUCCACCUGGCGCAAGCUAGUGAAGGUCUCCUCCAGGUCCUGGAUGAGGGUUCUUGCCUCCCGAGAUUUUACCACGAUGUCGUCGAUGUAGGCUUCUGCAUUCCUCUCUAGCUGCCGGCCCAGGGCGAUGUGCAUCAGCCACUGGAAGGUUGCUCCAGCGUUGCGUAGCCCAAACGGCAUGCAGGUGUAGCAGUAUACCACACACAGGGUCAAGAAGGCCGUCUUCUCCACGUCCUCCACUGCCAGUUUGAUCUGGUGGUAGCCCGAGAACACGUCCAGGAAACACAGCAGGUCACAUUCGGGGGUGGAGUCGACGAUCUGGUCAAUGCGCGGGAGUGGGAACAAGUCUUGGGGGCAGGCUUUGUUGAGGUUGGUGAGGUCGACACACAUGCGUUCCUUCCCGCCUUUCUUGGGCACAACGAUGGGGUUCGCCAGCCAUUCCGGGUACCGGACCUCGCGAAUGACACCUGCUGCUUCCAGCUUGUGAGUUUCCUGGACGAUGCUUCUCCGUGGACUGUUGCCGCGCCUUCUGCUUCACAGGGCACACCCUUAAGUGAUGCUCGAUUACCCCCUUGGGACUCCUACCAGCUGCUUGGGCUCCCAGGCAAAUACCUCCUUGUUCGCGUGUAGGAAUUUCACUAAUGCCUCCUCUUGGUCCGGGUUGAGGUUGGCGCCUAUGGUGAAGGUGGCUCCCGAGGAUCCAUCCUCCUCGACCGGCACUUGCUUCGUUUCGGCCCGAUCCUGAGUGAACAACUGCUUCUUUUUCGCCGGCGCAGCCCCCUUGGCCCCUGGGGCGGCAUCGUCGGCCGGGCGCGCCGCCGCGGCGGUCCUGAAGGCGAGCUUUAGGGCCGUUAGAGCCUCCUUGGUGUCUCCAGCCACGGUGAGGACGCCGCUGCUGCCCGGCAUCUUCAUGAGGUUGUAGGCCGAAUGGGUCGCUGCCAUGAACUGAGCCGGGGCAGGGUACCCGAGGAUGGCGUUGUACGGGAGGCCGAUGCGGGCGAUGUCGAAGUUGAUCAGCUCGGUGCGGUAGUUGUCCCGGGUACCGAAGGUGACCGGGAGGCGUAUUUGCCCCAGGGGGCUGGUGGAUCCGCCGCCGACUCCGGAGAAAGGCUUGGUGGGGCGGAGCCGACCGUACGGCAUGUGAAGCAAGCCGAAAGCUUCCACGGAGAGCACGUUGAGGCCUGCUCCGCCGUCGAUGAGGGUCUUGGUCACGGCAACGUUGCAGAUGGUGGGUGUGCAGAGCAUUGAGAGCGCGCCUGAGCCAGCAGUGGUAGCAGGGUAGUCCCCUGUGUCGAAGGUGAGGUCGGCCUUGGGUGCUGCCCAUCCUGGGGGGCUCCCCGCUGCACAGAGGCGGCGCCAAUCUGGCGGAAGAACUGCUUGACGUAAUGGUCAGAGGGUGCUGCUUGCGACCCGCCGAGGAGGUCCGCGAAGGUGACAAGCGCCGGCGCCGCGAAGCGUGCGACGAAAAAGCCGCGCAGCUCCUCCCAAGAAGCCACGGAGGAUCCUGGCAGGUUGAGCAGCCACGCGUGCGGCGCGCCAGCGAGGGCCAUGGGGAACCAAUUGGUCGUGACCUUGUCGUCGCCUCCGGCCUCCAGGACGGCCUCCUCAUAUGGCAAUAGGAAGGUCGACGGAUCUGCCUUGCCAUCAUAGAGGGGUGGCAUAUCCGGCCUUAACUUGUGUGCCACUACACCCGCCGUAGGGGAGCGGGUGCCCGUCGGUCCGGUCAGGAGAGCGGCGCCAGCCAUGGGGGCCAAACGGAGAGGCGAGGCCGGCGGGAGAGCGAAGCUUCGGCGCACCCCUACCUGCCGUGCCAAAUGUCGGAUUACGGGUUCCAGCAAACCCUUGAGGUUCGAACACUGGGGUGCGCACAAAGAUCUCUCUCUCCCAAGCUCGCUCUGGCAAUGAUCUGAAGGCCUAACUUGAUGAACCCAACUAACAAGAGACACGAGGGUUUAUACUGGUUCGGGACAUCGCCGUGGUGUAAUACCCUACGCCAGUGUGGCGUGGUGGAUUGCCUUGCAGGCCGAGGAUGAACAAGUACAAGGGACGAACAGCCUCCUGAGGAGAGGUGUUCUUGAGGUCGGCGAGCUGGUGUGUGUGAGGAUGGUCAGAAUGAUCCGUCCUCUGCUAGGGUGGUGGCUAGUCCUAUUUAUAGAGGCCCGGGGUCCUCUUCCCAAAUGUGUAGGCGGGAAGGGAUCCCAGAACGACCAAGUUUGAAGGGGGACAACUAGUACAAGCUAUCCUGACAAAAGGUGGUCUUCGCCUGCCGAAGGCUCUGGUGGUGAUGCCGUCGAGGGCUCCGCGGUGACCUCCAUCCCGCCGUCCUGCUGGUCUUGGUCUCGUUGCACUGAUAUGGAAACCUUUGCCUGACAUCUCGGGACUCCUCGCCUGCGCCUGCCUCUUUAGCACCAAAGAGGCAACUGGUACCCUGCGCCCGCUGGUGCCUGCCUGGCCUUGGUCGUCAUGGCUCAUGUCACGCACACCUUGCGAGGUGCCCCUUGCCUUGAUAUCUCUGUAAGUGUCAAAACCGACGGAUCUCGGGUAGGGAGUCCUGAACUGUGUCUCUGAGGUCGAUGGUAAUAGGAGACGGGGGACACAAUGUUUACCUAGGUUUAGGCCCUCUCGAUGGAGGUAAUACCCUACUUCCUGCUUGAUUGAUCUUGAUGAAUAUGAGGAUUACAAGAGUUGAUCUACCACGAGAUCGUAAUGGCUAAACCCUAGAUGUCUAGCCUGUAUGAUUAUGAUUGCCUCUACGGACUAAACCCUCUGGUUUAUAUAGACACCGGAGGGGAGUAGGGUUGUACAAAGUUGGUUACAGAGAAAGGAAUCUUCAUAUCCGAACGCCAAGCUUGCCAUCCACGCAAAGGAGAGUCCUAUCCGGACACGGGAGAGAGUCUUCUGUCUUGUAUCUUCACGGCCCAUCAAUCCGGCCCAUGUCACAUAGGCUGAACGCCCGAGGACCCCUUAAUCCAGGAAUCCCUCAGUACCCCCUGAACCAGGCUUCAAUGACGAUGUGUCCGGCGCGCAGAUUGUCUUCGGCAUUGCAAGGCGGGUUCCUCCUCCGAAUACUCCAAAGCAGCUCUCGAACACAGAGAACGUGUCUGGCUCUGUAAAACAAACACCGCACAUAUCCGCAGAGAGUAUAAUAUUUUCACGAGUCCAAUCUACUGACAACUUUCGUAGCGUGACAUCACGUUGCCGCCCAGUCAUUAUUUCGAACCAUUUUUAGCCUCCCGCUCCAUGUUUCAAGAUACUGUUCUAUCGGCACGUCUUGUCGAAGCAGAGAUCGUGUCCCCUUAUUACGGGAUUUUCAUCAAUACGGGCAUGGGUAAUCCAACUGCCCCGUUGGCAUGAUUCCUUGGGAAUAGGCAAGUUUCAAGGCUUACGAGGAGGCGUUCGAUAUUCAUCGCCUUUAUAAAGGGGCACAGACCCGUCUUUUUCUUCCUCAACUUUCCCAACCCUGAGCUCUAGCACCCAGGUUUCAACUUAAUCGAUCCAAGCCUCCCAGUCAUGUCCGGACCCAGCCUCCAAGGCCGGUGGGUGGCCUCCUCUGUCACAGAGGAGGAUAUCGCGAAGCUCCGGGCGGCAAGGUACCUGACCGCGGAAAUCCUCCACAGGCUUCCUGCUAAGGGGCAGGUUAUUCCUACACCUAGAUCCGGCGAAAGGGUCGUAUUCAUCUCCCACUUCCUUCGGGGGCUAGGGUUCGCUCUUCACCCCUUCGUUCGUGGCCUCAUGUUUUAUUAUGGGCUAGAUUUUUGUGAUCUAGCUCCGGACUCCUUUCUUCACAUCUCGGCGUUCAUCGUCAUGUGCGAGGACUUUCUCCGCAUUCCCCCACACUUCGGCUUAUGGCUCAAGACCUUUAAUGUGAAACCAAAGGUAGUCGACGGGGAGCAAGCUGAGUGUGGCGGUGCUAUGGUGAGCAAGCUCGCCAAUGCUCCUUGGCCAAAGGGCUCCUUCACAGAAACUUCCAACCUAUGGCAGCGGGAGUGGUUUUCCAUCACUGAACCCCGCGGUACCAAGUGGGCAGCUACACCUGCGUUCCGAACUGGCCCUCCGUUACGACUCGCAUCAUGGAUUUAAAAGGGGCUUGACUGGGGACCAAUUGAUGAAGUGCAGACGCUACAAAGCCGUAUCCGGAGUCUCCUUGAAAAGGACACCAGCCUCAUCAACGUGAUCCAGCUAAUGCUAGUCCGCCGGGUCCUACCGUGCCAGUGACGACCUCUCCGCCUGUGGGAGUUCAAUCUGGAAGGACCACGGACCCUUCAGCACUUCUUCGGCACAACGCACAGAGGGAUGUGGAAGUUAUUCUUCGGGACCCGAAAAUAGUGGCCGGAUACAACCGAGGACAUCGGCCUCGACUGCAGCCAUCUGGAUACCUCGGUAAGCACUCGACUCCUGAACACAGCUUAGUUAAUUAUCCCUCAGCAACAUACUGAGAAACCUGUCUCCGAUCAGGGCUGGAUAAAGAAGGCGGAACGAAUUAGGUGUUCGGCUCCACUCCCCGAAGACUCAACUGAUCCUGUGUUGACAAGGAUGCUGCCCGGCACCGUAUCAAGUGCCGGUGAAGGAGGUCAAGGAGGAGGGCAGAAAGGCCAAAGGUGGCCUCCACUCGAAAGAUACACCGGACGCUAUGUCCGGGGAGACUGGAACUCCCUCUUCUGAAGACGAAGGGGAAGAAGAAGCUGAUAUCUCUUCUCCCAAUGGGAAGAAAAGGACUACCUCCAGAGAUCUGAAGGUGGAGGAUCCCAAGAGAGGGAAGGCGUCCCUGUCAGCCGGUUCGGAAGACGAUGCUGCACAGUUUCCCCAUAAGGACAAGCCCUUAGCCGAAUUGUAAGUGAACAAGGGUGUUUUAGACAUAUCCCGUUCUUUUCAGGUUACAAGGGUAACAUCUUAAAUAUAUGUUUGCAGUCCGACCUGCAGUCUUCCUCAACAGUCCUCCUGCUCGGGUGACCUGCUUCCGGAGAUGAUGGAAAGCGAGACGCCUCCACAUGCUUCCUCGCCCCUUAGGGCGGACGACUUCGAGGUGUCAUCCCGGAGGGUCUCCCCCGAUCACCAAACGACGCGGGGGGUAAUAAAGGCAGCACCCGAAGGUGAGACUUCAGUCGUCAAGGGUCUGGGGAGUGCAGCCCCUACGGUGACUGACAAUAAAGGCCCCGGACUAUCCGGUUUACAGCCGAAAGCGACUCUAGAGUCGAGUAAACAUAUCCCUUCGAAGGGAGUUCAUACUCCUACAGCCGCUUCCAGGAGUCUAGAGGCGCCGGAUACAUUAAUGGGCAUGUUGCAGAAUGUGUCCAUCUCAGAGGAACAUCGUACCUUAAUGGGUAUGGUAGUCGAGAGAAUUCUGUCCGCAAGAAGCGGAUUGAAUGAAGCCUUCACGGGCCUACUAAGAGGCUUUGAGGUAUGCAAUGUAAUAUCUUGACUACUCUUUACAUGCAAAAAGUGCCUGUGUAUAGAUAGUAGCCCCUGAGACUCUGGUUGGCGUCCAAAGGUAGGCGAUCAGAGGAUCAAAAAAGAUAUGCUCAGGAAAUAACAUGAAUAAUUUAAAAAACAGGCUGUUACGUCAAUGACGACUGCCCCCGCCGCGGAAGUUGCAGAUUUAAAGCAAAAUCUUGAGUCAGCGGAUGAGGACAUUACUCUUAUUAACAGGCGGCUCGACGAGGCACAAGGUAUGUUUUGGGGCAGUCAGCUUAUGCAUGUAUAAUAAUAUAAGCACGAAGCUGAGAAUUAUAUACUGGGACAUGCAUAAUUGCAGAUGGUGCUGCUGCGGUUGAGACCCUUCGGGCUGAGCUUGCCCGGGCCAAGGAGCAAGCCAGGGUGAGCAAUGCGGCUGUCAAGAAGGCAGCUGCUGAUUUAAAGGCCGAACAGGCGACUCGGCACCAGUGCGAGGAGAGAAUAUCUACCAUGGCGCGAGAGCUAAAGGAUGCCACUGCCGAAUGCAAAUCACUCGAAAAGGAUAACAAACCCAAGACGGCCAAUCUCGACAAGGCCUUACAAGAGGCGCGAGAGGCACGAUCCGAGUCAAGAGCGGCUCGGGAAGAGAUUUGGCAAGCUGGGGAGAUAGCGGCUGGUAAGCCCUUUCUUUUACAGACUAAAUUCGGCGAUCCGAAGUAUGCCCCGCUGAAUCAAAUGUGGAGUUCUCCAGACUUUUUCUUGGACCUGCCGAAGAGUGUUGCCGAUGCGGCGCAGUUUUACCAAGCGCAAGACGGACGUGGAGUGGAGAAGCUUUUCUGGUCACAGUUCGACGGGCCAAAGCGUCCGCCGUUGCUGAACGAACAAAUGGCCCAGUGGGCCAAGCUCCACAAGGUGUCCGGAGCUGCCAUGGAAGAAGUCAUGGUCUGGCUGUGGCCAACUGAGCCAAUUCCGAACAGUUAUUUUGGUUUGGUGCAACGGCUUGUUGAUGCAGUGCCGCGUAUCGACGCUGUUAAGCGGUCGGCGUGCAUUGAAGGUGCACGGAUGGCCUUUGCCCGCGUCAAGACGUACUGGGCAAAAAUGAAGGCCACCGAUGUUGCAGCAAACAAUCCACCCAAGGGCAAGGACCAUCGCACGCCGGAGCAAUAUUUUGAGGAUGUCCUAGAGGGCGCCCGCUUGAUAGAGGGUCAAUGCUCGAAAUAUAUUAUGUUCGAGUGAAUGUAUCAGUACUGUGAUAACAAUAUUAUGAUAUAUUAAGGUUGUGUUAUAUUUAUGCCUGUUGCCUGAAAGGCAUUUCCUCCUGUGCGGCCGUUUUUUUAUAAUCUGAAAGUUUGCCAGUCGUUGGCUUCAGCCCCCUCGCAUAUAAUGCGGGAGUGUUCGGAAUAGCAACUGACCACGCUUGACCCAACGUGUUGGUCCGUGAAGGAGGUGUCAGUGCGGCGAACUAGGCAAUUGGGCUAUAUGGCUUUAACACCUUCACUUAGCCAUAGAAGUUUGACGAUGGGUCUACAAUAUAGCCCCUUGUAUGUACGCGGUUAUCCGAAUACGGCUGCGCUACAUAGGUGAUCGGAAGAACGGUCCUUCGUGUAAUACGGAAGAAAUCGCAAAAGAUUCUGAUAAGUCAAUGAGUGGUUGACCAGCUCUCGCUGCAUCAUGACAGUCAGUUUUCGGCUUUCUCUACUGAGGUGCUUAACCAGGUGAACCGGAAACACAAUCGCAGUAGUUCUCCCUUUACUACCCUAGCCGAUAGGACGAAACGUAAGGUAGUAAGCACAGGAGCCGGGCAACCCAACUAUUGACCGAAGACAUGAUUCAGAGCUGAUGCAUAUAAGGCCAAACUCGUGACGCCGAAUUAUGCUAUAAAGCUGUUCGGACUUUUCGGCAACACAUAUGUUGCCGUAUCGAGCCCCUGGCGAUUCGAGCCGAGGUGCGUGUGUGAAACAACUGGAGAAGCAAAAUUCAGUUCUCAAAAAAGCAAAUAUUGAAUACAGAUUUAUGUUCACUGGAAUCUGAUUUAUACGUCAAACGCAAUUAUACAGAUUACACCACCCCUACCCAGGCUAUUUGACAUGCCAGGGGUCGAAGGCUGGGGAAAAACGCACUUUAUAGGUUUGAAAUAAAGUGUGCGGUCUACAAAAAAUUAUUUGGACCUCAUGUCGCACGUCUGCGCUGCCUUUGCCUCAGCUAAAAGCUUCCUUAACAGGAAUAGCCGUUGGUUUUUUAUACGAAGCCGAACUCAGAAAGAGUCCUUGUAAGUCCGUAGGAUGAACAGGUUUUGAUUCGCCUGUAGUAAAAGAUAAAAAAUAGUUAGAAAAAACAAGAAGAAGGCUAUAGGAAUGCGAACCGCAUUGUAAGCCUGUCCGUAUUGUGCCUCCGCCGAUGACCAAGGUAUUUUAAGUGCAUAAUGAUGUAUGCGCGAUACAAACUUCGCGAGUAUAUGAGGUGAACGGCGGAGGCCGAACUACUAAUCUAUCUCUAAAAUUGACCGGUCCUGUGUAUUAGAGGCCGGUGGCUUAAUGGCCGAUGAGAUACGCGGCUUAAUGUGGCCGCUUUGUACUUCGGCUGCAAUAGCCGCAGUAUGCUCCUUUGUACGGAGGGAGCGUUCCGUAUUUCUGUCUAUCCUGGUGACACCUCGUGGACCGGGCAUUUUAAGCUUUACAGAAGCGUAAUGUGGGAGCGCAUGAAAGCGAGCAAAAGCAGUCCGUCCGAGCAGUGCAUGAUAGCCACUGCGGAAUGGGACAAUAUCGAAGAUAAAGUCUUCACUUCGAAAGUUGUUCGGCGAACCGAAGACUACUUCCAAUGUAAUUGAGCCCGUGCAGUGGGCUUCUAUGCCAGGUACUACUCCCUUGAAGGUAGUUGUGGUGGGCCUGAUUCUUGAAGGAUCAAUGCCCAUCUUGCUGACAGUGUCUUGGUAGAGUAGAUUAAGGCUACUGCCGCCGUCCAUAAGGACUCUCGUGAGAUGGAACCCGUCGAUAAUUGGGUCGAGGACCAGAGCUGCCGGACCUCCGUGACAGAUACUGGUUGGGUGGUCCCUACGAUCAAAAGUGAUCGGGCAGGCCGCCCAUGGGUUAAAUUUUGGGGCGACCGGCUCUAUAGCAUAGUCGUCCCAUAGUGCAUGCUGGCGCUCCCUUUUAGGGAUCUGUGUCACAUAUAUCAUGUUUACUGUUUUUACUUUGGGGGGAAAUUGCUUUUGACCACCGGUGUUUGGCUGGCGAGUCUCCUCGUCUUCACUGUCAUUAGGCGGCCCCUUCCCUUUGUGUUAGGCGUUGAGCUUGCCUACUUGUUUGAAAACCCAACAAUUUCUGUUGGUAUGGUUGGCGGGUUUGUCAGGGCUGCCAUGAAUUUGAUAGGGCCGAUCCAGUAUCUUGUCUAAACUGGAUGGACCAUCUUUGUUUGCCUUGAAUGGCUUCUUCCGUUGACCGGGUUUGGAACCACUGAAUCCGGCGUUGACCGUCGUGUCUUGGGUUCCUACAUUGUUGUUUAGACGCUUGUUUUUAUUGCGUCGAGGCUUUCCAUUGCCGUCCCUGACCUCAGAGGUGCCAGGAUCGCUGGUGCUAUUGUUUCGUCAAGCCAGCCAGCUAUCUUCUCACGCGCAGAAGCGGGUCAUCAGUGCGGUAAGAGCUGCCAUAGAAUUUGGCUUUUCUUGGCUGAGGUGAUGGGCCAGCCAUUCAUCUCGGACGCUAUGUUUACAGGCCGCUAGGGCUUCGGCGUCCAGAUAGUCGACGAUUUGGUUCUUUUUAAUUAAGAACCUAGUCCAGAGCUUCCUUGCUGACUCUCUGGGCUGUUAGAUGAUGUGACUGAGGUCAUCGGCGUCCGGAGGCCGGACAUAUGUACCUUGGAAGUUGUCGCGAAAGGCGUCCUCCAGGUCUUCCCAGUUGCCGAUAGAGUUUCCAGGGAGGCUAUUUAGCCAGUGCCGGGCUGGUCUCUUUAAUUUCAGUGUGAGGUAUUUGAUGGCAUGUAGAUCAUCGCCACGGGCCACGUGGAUAUGGAGAAGGAAGUCUUCAAUCCACAUUGCGGGGUCAGUUGUUCCAUCAUAUGAUUCGAUAUGCAUAGGUUUGAACCCUUCUGGGAAUUCAUGCUCCAUUACUUCAACAGUGAAGUAGAGGGGGUGUGCGGCGCCUCUAUAUCGGGCCAGGUCGCGACGUAGCUCGAAUUGAGUUCGUCUGCGAUUUUCGGCCCGGACGUGAUUAUGCUUGCCACGUCCGGCUAGAUAGCCGUUGUCGCGCGUCGAGGCACGCCCCCGUGAUCUGUAUAUCGAUCUGGUCUGACCUGCUCUACUGUCCAGGCCUUGCCACAGGUCAUAUGCAUGUCCCUGAGCUGUUAUAUCUCUACCUUUACAGCGAGGUAGUAUGGGCUGGUGUUCGGCUUGAGUUGCCGUUUUGUCCCGGCCACGAAGUGGUCGGUCAGCCGCAUUACGUGCCGAUGGCGCGGGCUCGAGGGCCUCAUCGUCAAAUUGGGGUAGCAGCUUAUGCUUCAGGUAACUUUUGGUUGGUCGCUCAAGGCCAUAUUCCUCUGCUGCCAGGACAUUAGUACACCUAUCGUUGAGCAGAUCUUGAUCAGCUUGAAGCUGUUGCUGCUUCUUUCUCAGGCUCCUUGCAGUGGCAAUUAGCCGGCGCUUAAAGCGCUCCUGCUCGAGAGGUUCCUUAGGUACGAUAAAGUCUUCGUCAUCAAGGCUCACCUCGUCCUCGGAGAGUGGGAGGUAAUUACUGUCCUUCGAGUCUUCAUUUACGGCCUGUUCGUCAGGGCUAACUUGCCCAUCUUCCUGGUUGUCCUGUUCGAGACUUGGCUCGACGGGGUUUUCUUUGUCUUCAGCAUCAUCCAGAGUGUUGUUGUCUCUUGUGCCGGUAUUGCUGUCUUUUCCACGAGGUGAUUUAGAGCGGUGCCGCUGACGUCUGCGCUUUGGCUGUGUCCCAGGAGGUUUAUCCUCGACUGGAUCUUCUUUAUCAUCGCCGUUACCAUCUUUGGGUGUGUCCACCAUGUACACGUCAUACGAAGAGGUGGUUGUCGGUGUCAAAACCGGCGGAUCUCGGGUAGGGGGUCCCGAACUGUGCGUCUAGGAUCGAUGGUAACAGGAGACGGGGGACACGGUGUUUACCCAGGUUCGGGCCCUCUCUAUGGAGGUAAUACCCUACUUCCUGCUUGAUUGAUCUUGAUGAAUAUGAGUGUUACAAGAGUUGAUCUACCACGAGAUCGUAAUGGUUAAACCCUAGAAGUCUAGCCUAUGAGUAUAUGGUAAUGAAUCUGUCCUAUCCGGACUAUGCCCUCCGGUUUAUAUAGACACCGGAGAGAUCUAGGGUUACAUGAGGUCGGUUACAUAAGAGGGAAUCUUCAUAACCGAUCGCCUAGCUUGCCUUCCACGCCAAGUAGAGUCCAAUCCGGACACGGGUAUAGUAUUCGGUCUUCAUGUCUUCAUAGCCCAUCAAUCCGGCCCAUGGAUAACAGGCCGGACGCCCGAGGACCCCUUAGUCCAGGACUCCCUCAGUAGUCCUUGAACCUGGCUUCAAUGACGACGAGUCCGGCGCGUAGAUUGUCUUCGGCAUUGCAAGGCGGGUUCCCCUUCUUCCGAACUUCCAAGAUAGUCUUCGGAUGCGAUGAUUAUAUCUGGACCUGUUACACACCAUGCACAACCGCAGAGAGAAUACAUAUAUUCCAUACGAGUUCCAUCCGCUAAUAGCUUUCUGUAUUACGUCCAUUCGGUCAUAAUUUCGAACCGUUUGUCCCAUGUUCAAAGACGCGGUCGCUAUUGGCACGUCUUGUCGAAGCACAGAUCAUGUCCCCUUAUUGCGGGAUUCUCAUCAAUGCGGGCAUGGGUAACCCAACCGUGCCAUUUGCACAGCCUUUGGGAAUAGGCGAAUCUCAAGGCGAGUGAGGAGGCGUCUAAUGUUUGCUGCCUUUAUAAGAGGAUAAGGAUCCCCUCUUCCUCUUCUCACGCUUUCUCUCCAUCUCCGCCUUCCUGAUCUCGAGCUCCAGCGCCCAAGUUCCAAUCUCCUUUCCACCCCAACAACCAUGUCCGGAUCCGGUGGUCAGGGCAAGUGGAUGGUCUCCUCCGUCAAGGAGGAGGAUAUUAGUGAGCUCAGGGCGGCCGGAUAUUUGGCGAAGGGAAUCGCCCACCGCUUGCCGGCCGAGGGACAAAUCGUCCCUACGCCGGAGCCCAACGAGAGGGUAGUAUUCCUCCCUCAUUUCUUCCGCGGGCUGGGGUUUCCACUUCACCCUUUCGUCUGCGGGUUGAUGUAUUAUUACGGGGUAGAUUUCCAUGAUCUAUCCCCGAAUUCCUUCGUCAACAUCUCGGCGAUCAUCGUCGUGUGCGAGGCCUUCCUCCGCAUCCAACCCCACUUUGGGCCGUGGCUCAAAGUCUUCAACGUGAAGCCGAAGGUGGUGGAUGGCCAGCACGCGGAGUGCAGAGGGGCAAUGGUGAGUAAAUUGUCCAACGUCUCCUGGCCGAAAGGCACCAUUGUGGAUACAGUAAAGGAGUGGCAGAAGCAGUGGUUCUAUAUCACAGAACCACGCGGCACCACCUGGGCCGCAGCUGCCGAAUUCCACUCCGGCGCUCCUAUGCGACUCACCUCUUGGGUCGAGAAGAGUCCGGACUGGUGUUCCCCUGACGAGCUGAUAGCGCUUCAGACGCGCGUUCAGAGCAUGGUAACCAAGAGCAUCAAGCUUGUUGAUGUGAUCCAGGUGAUAUUAUUUUGCCAGAUCCUUCCGUGCCAGCACCGAAGCCGCCCGUUGUGGGAGUUCAAUCCGAAGAAGCACCAGACCCUGGUGAGGCUCUUCGAGACUACGCACGAAGGCACAUGGAAAUUGCUCUUCAAGGGCAAUGAGAAACCACCGGCCGCGGAUUCAGACCGUGGUCAUGAUUGUACACACCCUGCCAGCAAGUUAUGUUAUUUCGAAUGAGUCCUCAACCUAAUUGUUUCGAGGAUGAUGUCUGAGUUUUUAUUACUGCUCUUUCAGGACUGGAUGGAGAGGGCGAAGCGGAACCAGUGUCCAGCUCCGCUGCCUGAAGAACCAGUCAUCCCGUGUCUGGCGAAGAUGCUGGUGCCGGCGCCGUAUAAGGCGCCGGAGAAGAAGGCCAAGAAGAAGGCAAAGGGGGCCAAGAGUGGCCUCCGUCGUAAGGGCACUUCGGACGCAGCGUCCGAAGACGACGAAACCCAUUCCUCUGUCCCUGAGGACAAUGACGGGGAAGAGGAAGAGGAAGAAAACAAUCCCCCCCUGAGGAGAGGAAGAAGAAGAGGGCGGCCCCGGCGCAUCUGGAGGCGGAGGCGUCCAAAAAGGGGAAGCGCGCUCCAGUGGCCAACACCGCGUGGGACGUGGACAGUAGUCCGGAACGACGCCCCCGCACAAAGCCUCAGGCCGCAUCGUAAGUGACACGGCUUAUGUAUGCGCACAUCCGACCCUUUCUCUCCAUUAUCUUGAUAUAGUUAGCUGUACUAUUGCAGUCCGGCCCAUGAUCUUAUCCAGCAAUCCUCCUUUGGAGGUUCAUUGGCUUCAUCAGAGAUGGCGAGCAGGUCACCACCGCCUGCUUACUCCCCCGGGGCCGAGGACGACACCGAAGUGCUGUCCCAAAGGACCGCUCCGAAGGGAGGAGCCCAGGACGUUGUUCGGGAGGCGCCACAAGGCGAGGCCUCCACCGCCGAACACGUGGGGGAUCCAAUCCCCAUGGAGACUGGCGAAGAGGGCCGUAUCCAGAUCGGCCCUCAGCCGAAUACGGUACCGGAGCCCCUUAUGGCUCCGGAGUCGGGCGAGCAGCUCCCUUUGAAGGGGGGUGUGCCACCUCCACCGAUGGCUCCUGUCCGUCCAGGAGCGUCGGAUGAUCUGAUGGGGGCACUGCGAAGCACCUCCGUCGUGGACGAGCACCGUGUCCUUAUGGGUGCGGUGAUCGAAAAAGUUCAGUCUGCCAAGAGCGGACUGAAUGAGGCUUGCGGCAGCCUGUUAACAGGUUUUGAGGUAAGUGACAUAGAAAGAGAAAGAAAUCCCAUGUAGUCAGUAGCCCCUGAGAUACUGUCUGGUGCUCGGCAAGAGGAACCGGACAGGGGAUCAAUCCUCUAGUGUAGAGACUCACGUGAUAUGUGUGCAUGAGCAGGCGUCGCUGUUGGCCGCAACCUCACAUGCCGCCGAAGUCUCUGAACUGAAGCAGAGGCUGGAGCGGACCGAGAACGAGCUCAGCGAGGUUACAAUGCGGCUUCGAGAGAAGCAAGGUAGGUAACAUCUUGCUGUGUGUUCGGAAAGAACAAGCGUUGCAUACUGACCAUAAUGUCGAAAUAUGUGCAGGAGCCGUGACCGAGGUGGAGGCCCUGAAAAAGGCUCUGGCCGAAGCCGAGGGGAAGGCCGUCGAGCAGCAAGCCGCUCGAAAAAAGCUCGAGGCCCGAGUCAAGGAGGUCCAACAGGAGCUCCAAGACGCGGUGAAAAAAUGUGAGAUCUUGGAGAAUGAUGCGUCGGCUCAAAAGGCCGAACUCUCCAAGGCUCGUCAGAGCACGGAGACCGCACGGAAUGAGGCCCGGGCCGCCCUCCAGGAGAUCCAGGAAGCUAGGAAGAUCACGGCGGGUAAGGCUUUUAAGAUGCAAAGCAAGUAUGCGGAGAAGCAAUACCAUUUACUAACCCGGGUUCGGAGUUCCCCAGGGGAUUUUGCGGAUUUACCAUGUAGCGUAUCAGACGUUGCAGAGUUCUACCAAGCUGAAGGAGGAUGUUCGACGGAGAAGCUAUUCUGGACGUAGUAUGCGACGCCAGAGCAUCCCGUGUCCUUCACCGAUCAGCUGAAGCAGCUGGUGGAGCUGCACAGGGUGGCCGAACUAGCGAUGAAGGAUUUAACAAUCCGGCUAUGGCCAGCCGAAGCUAUGCCCGGCAGCUACUUAAGACUUGUGAGGCGGCUAGUGGAAUCUUGUCCGCGGCUGGACGUCAUCAAGCGCUCUGUAUGUAUUGAAGGUGCCCGUAUGGCCUUUGCUCGCUGCAAGAUGUGGUGGGCGAAGAUGACCGCUGUUGAAGUGGCCAGCGGGCCGCCAGAGGGCAAGGAGCACCGCACACCCGAAAAGUAUUUUGCGGAUGUCCUAGAAGGGUCUCGACUUGUGGCAGCUCAAUGUUCGAAGGACAUUAUUCUCGAAUGAAUACAUUCAUGUUGUCCUGUGCCUUGUAUUAUAAAGACAAAGCUUUGUUUGGUAAUGUAAUUUCGUUAUGCUUUAAAUUGUUUCCUCCUGUGCGGCCGUGUUAUAUGCAAUCUGAAGGUUGGCCAGUCGUCGGCUUCUGCCCUCACGUAAUUCGUACGAAGGUGUUCGGGAUGGGAUCUAAACAAUCUUGAUCCAAUUUAUAUGGUCCUUGAAGGAGUUGUUUAGCGCAACGAACAAGGCAAUCAGACUAUACGGCUUAAACGCCCUCACUUAGCCAUAGGAGUUUUAUAAUUAAGCAAGUGCGUAGCCCCUGGUCCAAGCCAGGGUGCUGUCCGCAUCUGAUCGGGAAGUGCCGAUCCUUUGCGUGACGCGAAAAAAAAAUCUCCAACGAUUUUGUCACCCUCGAACAGCUGACCGGCUCUCGCCGUAUCAUGACAGUCAGUUUUCAGCUUUCUCUACUGAGGUGCUCAUCCGGUCAAGGCCAGGGCACAAUCAUAGUAGUUCUCCCUUUACUACCCUAGCUGAUAGAGCGGAACGUAGGGUAGCAAGCACAGGAGCCGGGCAACCCAACUAUUGACCAAAGACAUGAUUCGGAGCCAAUGCAUAUAAUGCUAAAUUUCGAGGUGCCGAAAUUUUAUACAAGAAGUGUUCAGACUUUUUUGCCGUGUUGUGGGGCGAUAAGCAGCCCCUGGCGAAUAUGAAACAUACAAAAGAGUACCGAUAUAGCUGAUAAGCAGAUCGAAAUAAAAUAGAGUAAGAAGCGAAAACCACAGAAACUGGGCCGCAAAUCAUUUUUAUUAUAGCUGAAUGGAUACAUCAAGGCGUAUUUUAUACAAAUAGUGCGAUAAGCACCCGGACUAUUUAACAUGUCGGGAUCAAGAAAGGGGCAGCGUGCGGGUCCUGGGAAAUAAGUAAAAAAUACCAUCAAGAAGAACGUAUGGCGGUUACCCUGCGCACCUAUGCUGCAUGCCCCCUUUGUAUGCCGAUCCUUCGAAGGGGCUGGUGAUCAGGCUCGCAGGAAAAGGAACCUGAAACAGAAAGGAAAACUGUGUCCGGGGUAGGUCUAGCCGAACUGUAGAUCCCGGGUUAGCUCGUGCCUCCGUCGAUGUCCAUGGUAUUUCGAGUGCGUAAUUAUCUACGCAUGGUACGAAUGCCACUACUUCAUUGGGGCUGGGACGGAGGCCGAAUUGCUAGUCGAGCUCUUGACGAGCCUUGCUGUCCUACUGCAGUGUAGUUCGGGACUUCUUGACGGUGUCCAGGGGCUCGACAGCCGCACUAUGGUGUUGCUUGAGAAUGCCGCUCUGUACCUCUGCUGCUAGGGCAGCGGUGUGCUCCUCUGUUCGGAGGGAGCGUUCCGUGUUGCCAUUGACUGUUAUGACGCCGCGUGGGCCGGGCAUCUUGAGCUUGAGAUAGGCAUAGUGUGGCACUGCGUUGAAUCUAGCAAACGCUGUUUGUCCGAGCAGUGCGUGGUAGCCGCUGCGGAAUGGGGCGAUGUCGAAGAUUAACUCCUCGCUUCGGAAAUUGUCCGGAGAGCCGAAGACCACUUCCAGUGUGAUUGAGCCCGCACAGCGGGCCUCGACGCCUGGUAUGACUCCUUUAAAGGUAGUCUUUGUUGGCUUGAUUCGUGAGGGUCAAUUCCCAUCUUUUGCACUGUGUCUUGAUAGAGCAGGUUGAGGCUGCUACCACCAUCCAUCAGGACUCAUGUUAGGUGAAACCCGUCGAUAAUUGGGUCUAGGACUAGUGCGGCUGAACCGCUGUGGCGGAUGCUAGUUGGGUGGUCUCGUCGAUCGAGGGUGAUCGGGAAUGACGACCAUGGAUUGAACUUUGGGGCGACUGGCUCUACCGCGUAGACAUCCCUGAGUGCUCGCUUGCGCUCCCUUUUGGGGAUGCGUGUAGCGUAUAUCAUGUUCACCGUUUUGACUUGAGGGGGAAAUUUCUUCUGCCCUCAAGUGUUCGGCUGCCGGGGCUCUUCGUCCUCGUCCUCACUUUGUGAUCCCUUUUCUUUCUUUUCGGAAUUUAACUUGCCAGCCUGCUUGAAAACCCAACAAUCCCUGUUGGUAUGAUUGGCUUGCUUAUCCAGGGUGCUGUGUAUUUGGCAUGGACGGUCGAGUAUGCGGUCUAGGCUGGAAGGUCCUUCAUUGUUUCUUUUGUAGGGAUUCUUUCGUUCCCCGGACUUGGAGCCUCUGAAUCCGGCGUUGACUGUGGUGUCAUCGGUGUUGUUAUCAUUGCUUCGGCGUUUGUGCAUAUUGCGCCGGAGCUUGCCAGUGCUAUUCUUGGUCUCAGAGGGGCCUGACUCGCUGGCUGUGUUGUUACUACAGGCUAGCCAACUGUCUUCUCCCGAGCAAAAGCGGGUCAUGAGUGCCGUGAGGGCUGCCAUAGACUUCGGCUUUUCUUGGCCAAGGUGGCGUGCUAGCCAUUCGUCACGGAUGCUGUGUUUGAAGGCUGCUAAGGCCUCGGCGUCCGGACAGUCAACGAUCUGGUUCUUUUUGGUUAGGAACCUAGUCCAGAAUUUUUUGGCUGAUUCUCCAGGUUGUUGGACUAUGUGGCUUAAGUCAUCGGCGUCUGGUGGCCGGACAUAGGUUCCUUGGAAGUUGUCGAGGAAAGCCUCUUCCAAGUCCUCCCAGCUGCCGAUAGAAUUUUCAGGCAGACUGUUAAGCCAGUGCCGAGCUGGCCCUUUGAGCUUUAGUGGGAGGUAUUUAAUGGCGUGGAGAUCGUCUCCUCGAGCCAUGUGGAUAUGGAGGAUAAAGUCCUCGAUCCAUACUGCUGGAUCGGUUGUGCUGUCGUAUGAUUCCAUAUUGACGGGCUUGAACCCCUCGGGGAAUUCGUGAUCUAGUACUUCAUCCGUGAAGCAGAGAGGGUGUGUGGCGCCUCUAUAUCGGGCCGCGUCAUGGCGUAGUUCUGAUGGAGUCCGUCUGCGGUGUUCGGCCCGGGCGUGGUUAGAUUUAUCACGUCGGAAUAGGUAGCCUUCCUUGUGCCUCGAGGCACGCCCUCGCGAUCCAUAGAUCGAUCUUGUGUGUCCUGUUCUAUCGUCCUGGAUUUGCCGGAGGUCGUAUGUGUGACCCCAAACUCUUCCGUCUCUAUUUUUGCGAGGCGGUGGGGCCGGCUGCUGUUCAGCCCAAGUUGCCGCUUUGUCCCGGCCGCGGGGUGGCCGGUCGGCCGCCCUGUCUCGACCACGCGGUGGUCGCUCCGCAUUAUGCGAGGGAGAUGUGUGUUCCGGUGCCUCCUCAUCAAAGUGAGGUAGCAGUCUGCGUUUCGGGUAGCUCUUGGCUGGGCGCUUGAGGUCGUAUUCUUCCGCUGUCAGGACAUCAGUCCAUCUAUUGACGAGCUGGUCUUGUUCAGCUUGAAGCUGCUGCUGCUUCUUUUUCAGGCUCCUUGUAGUGGCUAUGAGUUGAAGCUUAAAGCGCUCCUGCUCCAGGGGAUCCUCGGGCACGAUGAAAUCUUCGUUGCCGAGGCUUGUCUCCUCUUCGGAGGGUGGAUGGUAACUAUCAUCCUCCGGGUCGUCUUCUAUGGCCUGUUCAUCAGGGUUAUCUUGCCCGUUGCCAUUUUCCUCCUGUUCGGAUGUAGCUCCGACAGGGUGUUCGUUGCUUUCGGCGUCGCCCGGAGUACUAUUUUCUCCGGUGCCCGUGUUGCCAUCCUUUGAGCGACGAGGCUUAGAACGGCGCUUAGGGCGGCGACGCUUGGACUGCGUCUCCGCGGGUUUGUUCUUAUCCGGCUCUUCUUUAUCGUCACCAGAUCCUUUAGGUGUAUCAACCAUGUACACAUCGUAUGAAGAGGUGGCCGUCCAACGUCCAGUGAAUGGCGGGUCUUGGCCUUGCUCCCUGUCGGCAUCGUCGUCCAUACCGUCAAUGUCUUCGGAGUCAUAGUCAAGCACGUCGGUUAAGUCAUCGACGGUGGCUAUGAAGUGGGUGGCGGGUGGGAAGCAAAAUUCCUCAUCGUCCGUCUCCAGCUCGAACCGGACAUAGUUCGGCUGUGAGUCCUCCACCAAGGAUAAUUUCUUCAAAGAGUUUAGUAUGUCACCCAAAGGCGAAUGCUGGAAGAUGUCUGCGGCGUUAAAUUUGAAAAUCGAUAACCGAUCCAGCUCGGUGUCCGCAGAUGCAUCUGGUCCGGAAUGUAUGGCCGGAUACGAGUCCGGAGUUCCAUUGUCGGAAGCAUUGCAGGGUGUCGAGUCCGUGUGCGGCUCCAACGCCAUAGGCUUUAUGGCCUCGGAGGGGAUGAUCUGCCUUGGUACUGAGGCCGUUGCAGCAACAGGAUGCAUCUCCUGGAUGUGCUCCGAUGACAGAUUUAAGUCAUGUUCAUCGGAGAGAAGGGGAGCGAUCGCCGCGGUCUCAAAUCCAUCGAAGAUCAAGUCUCCAUGGAUAUCCGCGACAUAGUUCAAGCUUCCAAAUCUGACCUGAUGGCCAAGAGAGUUCGCCCGCAAUACGAAGCCGCCGAAUACAAAGACUUGUCCGGGGAGGAAGGUUUCUUCCUGGACGGCGUCAUUACUGACGAUCGAAGGGGCCAUGGAAUCCUUUCGUCGACGGCACGGUCGAACUCUCAAUGAAAGCACCAAUGUCGGUGUCAAAACCGGUGGAUCUCGGGUAGGGGGUCCCGAACUGUGCGUCUAGGAUCGAUGGUAAUAUGAGACGCGGGUAACGGUGUUUACCCAGGUUCAGGCCCUCUCUAUGGAGGUAAUACCCUACUUCCUGCUUGAUUGAUGUUGAUGAAUAUGAGUGUUACAAGAGUUGAUCUACCACGAGAUCGUAAUGGCUAAACCCUAGAAGUCUAGCCUAUGAGUAUAUGGUAAUGAAUCUGUCCUAUCCGGACUAUGCCCUCCGGUUUAUAUAGACAUCGGAGAGAUCUAGGGUUACAUGAGGUCGGUUACAUAAGAGGGAAUCUUCAUAACCGAUCGCCUAGCUUGCCUUCCAUGCCAAGUAGAGUCCAAUCCGGACACGGGUAUAGUCUUCGGUCUUCAUGUCUUCAUAGCCCAUCAGUCCAGCCCAUGGAUAACAGAUCGGACGCCCGAGGACCCCUUAGUCCAGGACUCCCUCAGUGGCCGUCCAGCAUCCGGUAAACGGCGGGUUUUCGGCCUGCUCCUCUCCGGCAUCGUUGUCCAUACCGUCGACGUCUUCGGAGCCAUAGUCAAGCAUGCCAGUUAAGUCCUCGACAGUGGCUAUGAGGUGGGUGGUGGGUGGGACGUAAAAUUCCCCGCUCUCGGCCCCUAGUCCGGUAUGGGCGUAGUUCGGACAUUGCUCCUCUGUAAUGACGAGGGAUCGCAUCAAGUCCAGAUCCUCGCUUAAAGGCGAGGUUUGUCCAGGGAGCAGAGGAUCCGUGGAGUACGGCGGGAAGGAAACUCCUUGCCCGAACUCACAUGAUGCUGACUCCGAAGGUUCGGAGCCAGCGUCCAGAGAAGAGUCUGGCUUCCUGACGGUUGCCAGCGACACUGCUUCCUCUGUCUCUCCCGUACUGGGUUUAGUGGCCGCAGAUAGUCCGACAGGAUCAGAAAUCCCGUCUUCGGACCGGGUGACGCUCUCCGGAUAUAGAGCCAGAGCGGAGGUUGGAGUCGUGAACCCUUGGAAGAUCAAGUCUCCUCCGACAUCAGCGACAUAGUCCAGGUUUCCAAAACUAAUCUGGUGACCUGGAGCGUAGCUGUCGAUCUUCUCUAGAUGGCCAAGCGAGUUGCCUCGUAGUGCGAAGCCGCCGAACACAAAGAUCUGGCCGAGGAGGAAAACCUCCCCCAGGGCAGCAUUGUUGUAGAUGAUUGAUGGAGCCAUCGAACCUUCUGGUGACGAUGCAGCGGAACUCUCAAUGAAAGCACCAAUGUCGGUAUCAAAACUGGUGGCUCUCGGGUAGGGGGUCCCGAACUGUGCGUCUGAGGUCGAUGGUAACAGGAGACGGGGGACACAAUGUUUACCUAGGUUCGGGCCCUCUCGAUGGAGGUAAUACCCUACUUCCUGCUUGAUUGAUCUUGAUGAAUAUGAGGAUUACAAGAGUUGAUCUACCACAAGAUCGUAAUGGCUAAACCCUAGAUGUCUAGCCUGUACGAUUAUGAUUGCCUCUAUGGACUAAACCCUCCGGUUUAUAUAGACACCGGAGGGGACUAGGGUUGUACAAAGUCGGUUAUAGAGAAAGGAAUCUUCAUAUCCGAACGCCAAGCUUGCCAUCCACGCAAAGGAGAGUCCUAUCCGGACACGGGAGAGAGUCUUCUGUCUUGUAUCUUCACGGCCCAUCAGUCCGGCCCAUGUCACAUAGGCUGGACGCCCGAGGACCCCUUAAUCCAGGACUCCCUCAAUCUCUGCUCCUUGGGAGCCAGCCUAGUGAGCCUGCCCCUUAGGAGGUCUUGUGUCAUCCGCCUCGCGAGGCUUGGCCCCUCGCGAGGGCCUCGAGUGGUUGCUGAUGAAGAUGGGCCGUACCAGGCCGUUGGCGGAGCCACGCCCUGGGCCGCAGGCAGGCAAGUCUGGGUACCCCCGUUCCCAGGACGCCGAUAGCAUGACCAGGGAAGUACUCUGUGCAAGAAGGAAAAAGAAGCAUGAAGCCAGAUGCCGACUCAUAUGACAGUCGGCAGAUGAAAGAAAGGAAAAGAUAACUCACCAUCGAGCAUGUCCUCGAUCUCGCUGUAGCCGUCGAACAGAGCUGUCUCCCUCUCGGCCCAGCCCGAGCGUUCAGUCUCGACCUCGGCCUGGAGGGUGGCCUCGCCGUCCUUGACCUUCUGGAGCUCCGUCUUGUGCCAGUCCGCCUAGUCUGCCAACUCCUUGACUAGGUGGUCACGCUCCUGGGCCACCUUGCGGCACUCCUCCUCCUUGGCACGCAGGGCGGUUUGGGCUUCGCCAAGACGUUGCUACAGGUCUGCGGCCUCUCCUGCAGAAGACAAGACAGAGAAGACAGUCAACAAGUCAACAAAGGGGAAAAGUGGUUGCCGGAAGAUCCGGCCCGACUGUUCAGCAGUCGGCCCGAAUCUUGGGGGCUACACCCAGCUGGUGCGCUGACGCACCCCCGCAAGAGAGAAAAGACAGAGGCGGUCCGCUUGGCCAGCUCCUGGACCUGGGAGUUGAAGGUGGCCACGCGGAUGUUGUGGUAAUCAUGCAACGAGGACAACAGAAGAAAAGAAAAAGUCAGCACUCGGAACUUACCUUUAAGUUCCGAGCCGCCUGCUCAGCAGCCGGCCCAGAACUCGGGGGCUCCACCCAGUGGGUGCGCUGGUGCGCCCCCACAGAAGAUUACAAGAAUCAGAAACAAGGCACAAGAAGCAUACCCGGACGGCUCGCGUCGCCAAGAACGCCUUCGUAUACCGCUGAAGGGCGGCGCCUUGGGCCUGGAACUGGGCCUGAACGUCGUGCGCGGCCGUGUUCAGGACACCCGUCCCGCCCCCAGGUAUCCACUCUGGCGGGGCAACAUUGGUUGCCUCCGCUUCAGGGGCCGACGAGCUUGCGGCCCCGAUCUCCUACGGCCGUGGCGCUGAGAUCACCUUCACCGCACGCCGGCACACCGGAGUGCGGACCACGGGGGUCAAUCCCACCACCAGCUCGCCAGUGACUGGCGGCGCCAGUGGCACGUUAGGCCGACUGUCAUGGGCCUCGACAGUCGGCGCUUGCAGGGGCACCUCCGCCCCCAAGACGAUGGCGUCGCCCCCUCCCUUCUCCAUGACCGGCUGUUCAUCGCCAACUCCUUCAGACGGCGCCUGGGUCUCUGGUGCCGGUGGCGCGGCGCGCAGAGGGAUGAUGAGUUGCGGAGUCCGACCGCGUGCGGCUUCUUCCGCUUGCGCCUUGGCGGCCCCGUCCUCUUGGGCCAUGGCUGUGGCAUCCGCCUGGACCUUGGCCGCCGCGUCGGCUUGGGCCUUGGCCGCCGCAUCCGCGUCUGCCUGCGCCGCCUUGGCCGCCACCGCCUUCUGCCGUUCCACCUCCUCCCGCUCCUCGCGCGCCUCCCGCACGUUCCUCUCCGUCGCCUCCUGGAGGUCGGCGAGCGGAUCCACGCGGCGGGUGUUGGCGGAGCCCUCCGCCGACCCGAUCACAGAAGCAGAGGCGGACCGCUCAAGAGAGAGCGGGGCCCUAUUCAAGCAAGAUAAGAGGAAAGUUAGAAAGAGUUAACAAGAAAGAAGAAAAGAAAACGCAAGAGAAGCCAAGCACUUGCGCAGACACCGUCGGGGGCUGCUUCGGGGUCCUCUAGAACUGGGCCGCCUUCGCGGCGGCCUGCCGCCGCCUGGUCGAGGCGGCCGUGUUCUUGGGAUUCUUCGGCCGGCUGCCGAAUAGCAGCGAGCCGGCUCGGCGCGCCACCUGGUGUAGUCGGCGUUGCUGAAGAGCUCGCGCCCGCCUUGUCAGCGCCAUGCGGGCGGAGCGGCUCGGUCUCCUCCUCGUCAUCAUCCGACCAAUCCUCGAUGCCGCCUCCUCCGGAGCCGCCUGCUCCGCCACCCGUGGCAUCGUCCUCCUCCAUGGCGGCCGCCCCCAAGUCGGGGUUGUCCAUGUUGCUUGUCGUCUGGUCCGACAUGAACACGUCUCCCGGACCCAGAGCGUCGGCGGCCGACUGGUUCGAGAAGACAUGUGACAUUGCCGACUGAUCAGACGGUAAGGCAAGAACUCAGACAAGUAAAGAAGAGAAAGAAUUGCAAGACUUACCGCAGGCGGCGGGUGCGCGUGGUUGUACAACGGCUUGCCAAUCCACCAAUCCUUCUCCUUCAACUUGUAGUUGGAGAAGUAGUUGACCAGCCGGACCACCUCCACAUCCGGCAGCUCCCGCGUGCACAUCCGGCACGGGUCCCGAUGCCCACUCAUGCUGCUGAUGAUGUGGGGCCGGGCUUGGAGGGGGAGCACUCGGCACGCCACGUAGGCGGCCAGCAAGUUCGUGCCCUUGAGGCCCUCUGACUCCAUCAUCACCUGAAGUCGGGCGAGGGCGGCGGAGGAGGCGGCCGACAGGGAGCUUGGCUUGUACUGCCAAUUGGCGCGCGGCUCUGCAGGCGGGCGGCUACAUAAGCCGGUAGGUUGAUGUAGUGCCUCGUCGGAUGAAUGUUCUUGAUGUAAAAGUAGGACUUCUGCCACAGCUUGGCCGACUGCAGCAGGGAGAUGGGCGGGAAGCGACUCCCGGCACCUGGACGCUGCACGGCCACGCAGGCUCUGCACUGGGCCGUCGUGCCCUUCGCGGCGGUACCGAGCUUGAGGUAGAAGCACUCUCCCCAGAGCUCGAGAGUGGGGAGAGUACCAAGGCAGCCUUCGCACAUGGUGAUGAAGACGGCCAGCAGCACCACCGUGUUUAGCAUGAGGUGGUGCGGCUGGACUCGGUAGAAGUUGAGGAAGGAACAUAAGAAGCCGCUUGCGGGAAGGCCGAAGCCGCGAAGGAAAUGGGACCGGAAGACAACGCGCUCGUCGUCCUCCGGCACCGGCGAGAUUUCUGCCUCGGGGGGGGGGGGACAUGCACCUUCACGUUCGUCUCCCGGGGCAACCGCCGCGUUUGAUGGAGGAAGGAGAGGUGCUCCUCAUGGACAUUGGAGCUGUCCCAGUCGCCGACCCGUAAACGCGCCAUGGACGAAGGAGCUCAUCGGAGGCGCGAUGUGGUGGCGAGCUGGCGAAGCUGCGGCGGAGCAAGAAGGCCGUGGCAAGGAGAGGCUCGGCAAUGAGGAGCUGCGGCAGCGCUUCGGCGAGAGGAGGAGGUGCUGCAGCAGCGGAGAGAAGGAGAAGAAUGGCGAAGGAAAAGGGAGAGGACGGCGCGCGUGCAUCUGCCGCCCCCACCUCCCCCUACUUAUAGCCCCAGGCGGCGGAGCCGAGGGGGCGAGAACGUGGGGGUCGUGGGAUUAACUGUGCCCACCCCCCACGAUCCCACGAUUACCGUGCAGUAAUGGCGUGUAUUAACUGCGCCCCGGAAUCUCAACUGUCUGCCUCGGCCGCAGCGAAUCCGCACGCGUGCCGAGGCCCGGUACUGGCAGGCCCCAGCCUGUGGCGACGUCUCGUCGCGCGCGUGGGCUGGCAGGCCGGCCCGGUUGGCUGGCGCGUGGCAUGCAGAUAGCGGGCGGCAAGCUUGGCGCCCGGCUGGUGUGUCACCUGGCUCCCACGAGGACGUUUCGAAAUCACCAGACGGCCAGCCUGGUCGCGGGCGACUCCUACCAGUCGGACGAAGCGAAGCCACCAGACCGCUCGCAGUAGGAAGCUGCUGAGGUUCUCGCCUUUUCAGCCACAGCACCCCACCAGCUUCGGGGACUACUGUCGGAGUAAAUGACCAUGGGUAGCCUCAUCUGCUCCCCAUGGUACUUCAAGACAUGGGGGCCAGCUACGCCCCUCAAACCUCAUAGGCGAAGAGCUGCCUUCUUUGGGCCGGCUGGUCCGAGCGGCCGUCUGCUAGAAGGCGGCAGAGCCUAGAGGGCGACCGUGAGGUGGGCCGACUCCUAGCAGGCGGCCGCCAGGGAGGCCGGCUCCUAGCAGGCGGCCCCCUGCUCCCUCAAAGUUAGCACCUCAUUACAACGAUGAGACGGGGCGUGGCUACAGAGCAGCCUGCCACCCCCGAAUCCAGGGCAGAAAGUGGCCACAGUGCAGCAUACUGGGCGGACAUCCCUUGCCUGGCGCGACACUGUUGCCAUGUAGCCCGUGACAUCACCCAUGGCAGAGGAGGCCCUGCCCCCACUACGGGCUGUCGGUAUGGCCUACAGGCGGCAGACCCUACCUGUCCGUGAGAAGCCAGAAGGCGGCGAGCCCUGACCAGUCGCCACGGGGGAGGCCGACUCCUGUCAGGCGGCCCUCCCCCUCCCUCAAAGUCUGUGCGCCAUUAAUCAGAAGAGACGGGGAGUGGCUACAGUGAACGCCUGCCAGGCGGCGGACUGUAGCCACGCCCUCCCCGACAAAGCACACAUCAUCAGUGGCGCUGCCACAGUACUAAGAAGCCGGAAGGACCCUCAAGCGGCGGGCGCGGCCUGUCGGCCAAGUACGAGAUAGCCAGCGGGACCCACCAGGCGGCGGGACCCAGUAGCCGGCGGAGAAGCCGGCCACCAGAGUCGCUGACGGCUAGGUCAUACACCCAGCCGAAUUACCAUUGUACCCCUGGGGGAUAGGCCUAUACAAACCCCCAGGGCACCCAUUCAAAGGGUUCAGCAUCAUAGACAACACACCCACAUAGAGAGAGAAGUAGAGCUAGCCUUGCCCUUCUUCCUCCUCUAGCAAAUCUGAAGGAUCGAAAGUAUGUCUAGAGGGGGAUGAUUAGACUACUUGACCAAAUAAAAAUCUAGCCUUUUCCCAAUUUUAAGUCUUGGUAGAUUUUAACAAAUUUAGAACAAGUCAAGCAAUCAACCUACACAUGCAAGUCUAAGAGUAUAGCAGCGGAAUGUAAAACAUUGCAUAUGAAGGUAAAGGGAGGAGUUUGGAGGGAGCAAACACAAUGUAGACAUGGAGAUUUUUUCCCGUGGUUCCGACAGGUGGUGCUAUCGUACAUCCACGUUGAUGGAGACUUCAACCCACGAAGGGUAACGGUUGCACGAGUCCACGGAGGGCUCCACCCACGAAGGGUCCACGAAGAAGCAACCUUGUCUAUCCCACCAUGGCCAUCGCCCACGAAGGACUUGCCUCACUAGGGUAGGUCUUCACGAAGUAGGCGAUCUCCUUGCCCGUACAAACUCCUUGGUUCAACUCCACAAUCAUGACGGAGGCUCCCAAGUGACACCUAACCAAUCUAGGAGACACCACUCUCCAAAAGGUAAUAGAUGGUGUGUUGAUGAUGAACUUCUUGCUCUUGUGCUUCAAAUGAUACUAUCCCAAACACUCAACUCUCUCUCACAGAUUUGGAUAUGGUGGAAAGAUGAUUUGAGUGGAAAGCAACUUGGGGAAGUCUAGAGAUCAAGAUUUAUGUGGUUGGAAUGGAAUAUCUUGGUCUCAACACAUGCGUAGGUGGUUCUCUCUCGGAAAAUGUAUGUUGGAAGUGUAGGCACAUUCUGAUGGUUGUCCUCCCGAAUGAAGGAAGGGUGGAGGGGUAUAUAUAGCCUCCACACAAAAUCUAACCAUUACACACAAUUUACCAAACUCGGUGGGACCGAAUCAGAAAACUCGGUCAGACCGAUUUAGUUUAUAAUGUGACCGUUAGGCAUUUCGGUGGGACCGACAUGUCAACUCGGUGGGACCGAUGUCAUUAGGGUUAGGGCAUAACAUAAUCUCGGUGAGACCGCUUACACAAACUUGGUGGGACCGACUUUGGUAAUAAGCUAACCAGAGAGUUGGUCAGGCAAACUUGAUGGGACCGAUUCGCUCAUUUUGGUGAGACCGAAAUGUUACGAAGGGGAAACAGAGAGUUUGCAUUGCGAACUCGGUGGGACCGAUCGUUCAUCUCGGUUAGACCGAAAUGUUACGAGGGGAAAUAGAGAGUUUGCAAUCCCAUCUCGGUGAGACCGAGAUCCCUAUCAGUGAGACCGAAGUGACUAGGGUUUCUGGCAGUGGCUAUGUCAAGUGAACUCGGUGGCGCCAGAUAGAUCAAAUCGGCGGGGCCGAGUUUGACUUUUGGUUUGGGACAUAUGUGGAAAUGAGAAAGUGGUUGAGGGUUUGUGGAGCAUAUCACUAAGCAUUUUGAGCAAGUAAGCCAUUAAGCAACACCUCAUCCCCUUUUAAUAGUAUUGGCUUUUCCUAUGGACUCAAUGUGAUCUUGGAUCACUAAACAGAAAAUGUAGAGUCUUGAGCUUGAGCCAAUGUGUGUACUUAGCAUUUUGAGGGGUCCACAUUUCUAAUCCAUGCCAUGCCAAUCAUUGAACUUCCUGAAAUAGUCAUCUUGAAGUAGCAUUAGUUCAAUGAGCUAUAUGUUGUUAGUAAUUACCAAAACCACCCAGGGAUAGUUGCACUUUCAAUCUCCCCCUUUUUGGUAAUUGAUGACAACAUAUAGAUCAAAGCUUCGGCAAAUGAUAAUAAGAUUGAAAUACACCGUCGCUUUGAGAAGUUUGUGAUAAGCAAGAGCUCCCCCUAAAUUUGUGCAUUAUUUAAAAUUUGCUUUUGAAUGCAAAUGCACAAUCGAUUAGGAUCAUGGGUUACUCUUCCAUGUCACAUACAUCUUGAUGGAGCGCUCAAAAUGAUAGGAAUUAAAACAUGCACUCAUCACCAAGCAAAGUGAACGAUCAUAUAGGGAUAUAAGAGAUAAUAUCAUCCAAGCAAACAUUAAAGUAUGAUAUGAUCAAACACAUGAUCAUAUAAGUAUCUCACACACAGACAUAAAGUAUCAAAUGAGCACACACAAAAUUUCAACCAAAAUGCAAUAGCCAGAGAGACAAAAAGCAACACUCUCUCUCGAAGCCUAUGAUCUAUACAUUUGUCCCCUUUGGCAACAAGUUACCAAAAAGUUUGAAAAUGCAUAGGGAUAUGCGUCUCUCAGGCUUGGUCUUCGGGAGGUGGUGUAGAGAGGACUCCAAGGAUGAAGGCAUCAGUAGACGUUGUUGGAACUGGUGGAGUGGCUGCACGAGGUGGCACUGAAGUUGUUGCUGCUGGUGCAGAUGAAGUAGCUCUUGUAUCUGGCACUAGCACUGCAGCUGACCUCUGACCUCUUGGCACUCUCUCAAAAGCUUCUGUAGUUGCCUUCCCUUCUUCUCCUCUGCUUCCUCCUGGAGCUGCUCAUUUGCAGUCUGUAUCUCAGUUACUUUCAAAUCAAGAUCAUAGAACUUUGUUUCUAUAAUCCUCUCCAAGCUUUCCUGAUUUUGAGUCAGGGUGGCCAAGCCCUUCUCAAUACUCAAUGUUGCUUGAAUCAGAUAAGCUAGUUGAUCUUGCUUGCUCUUUAAGAACACUUCAGAUGCCUCUUCAAUACUUGGCAUCCUGACAGCUUUUUCUGCCUUUGCCUUUGCUCUCUUCUCUUGUGCUUGCACUGAUGAAGGAUCAUCCUCAUUCAUCACAACUGUGUUAUCCUCAAAAUUUGGGUGCAAAGGUAAAUGCUCCUUGUCCAACAAGUAAGUGCCUGUGCCCAUCUUGGAGUUGAUGAGCACCUGAAUAUGUGGAGCAUACCCACAAGAUCUCUUCUGAUCAGCAGUUGUCCUUUUGAUUGUCUCUACAAUCAGACUCAUGACCUUGAAUUUUUGAGGAACAUCAAAGAUCUGCAACAAGUUGAUGGAAUAUCCUCUAAUCAUGUUGUGAUCUCCAGAUUUGGGUAACAGAGUAUGCCUUAAGAUGGUGUUGAUAGUAGGUAGACUAGACAACAAAUAAUGCACAGAUCCAAACUUGUGUGUCUCCAAAGCUUUAUCUGGGAUCUCCUUGUACAUAUUUGCCAUAGAGUUGUGGUCUUUCUUCUUCUUGGCAUACACAUCCAAAUCAUCAUCAUGCUCUUCUGGGGCAUUGAUCAACUUGGCCCACUCAUCAACAGUUGACCGGUACCUUGUACCUUUAGACAUCCAAACUAUUCUACCAUCUGGAUAGAAAUGAGCAGCGGAGUAGAACUGCAUAAUGAGCUUAUCAUUCCAUUUGGUAAGCUUCUGUCCAACAAACUUUUCAACUCCACAAGCUUUGAAGCUUUCAUGCACACCUGGGAAGUGAUCUUCAUUUUCAUCAAUGAAUUCCCAAUCAACCCACUUCAUAUCACAGACUAUAGGUUUCUUGUCCAACAGAAUGGUCUCAUAGAAAUCUUGUUGUUCUUUGGUGUGGAACCUGUAAUCCACAUCAGUUUUCCUCCUUACAGCAUAGGGAUCAGACUGUCUCCAAAGUCUGAGACCUGCAUCCUUCCUGAUGCUCAUAUCCUCUGCCACUGGAUGAGUGUCAUUGUGGUCUGGAAUCUUUGGUUUCGGUUUCCUCAGCUCAUGGGCUUCAACAUCUUCUUCUUCAACUUCAGGCACUGGGCCUUGUUCUUCUCUUCAGCUGGAAUGUUCCUGGUGCUUAUCUUAGGCUUAGAAGGCUUCUGAGCUUGAGCAGUAACUUUGGGAGCAUUUUUGGGCUUUGAUGGAGCAGCCCCUGAUGUCGGUGUCAAAACCGGCGGAUCUCGGGUAGGGGGUCCCAAACUGUGCAUCUAAGGUCGAUGGUAACAGGAGACAGGGGACACGAUGUUUACCCAGGUUCGGGCCCUCUCUAUGGAGGUAAUACCCUACUUCCUGCUUGAUUGAUCUUGAUGGAUAUGAGUAUUACAAGAGUUGAUCUACCACGAGAUCGUAAUGGCCAAACCCUAAAAGCCUAGCCUGUAUGACUAUGGUAAUGAGUAUCUCUCCUCUCCGGACUAAGUCCUCCGGUUUAUAUAGACACCGGGAGGAUCUAGGGUUACACAAGGUCGGUUACAAAGAAAGGAAUCUACAUGUUCGGUCGCCAAGCUUUCCCUCCACGCUAAGGAGAGUCCCAUCCGGAUACGGGUGCAGUCUUGGGUCUUCGUAUCUUCACAGCCCAUCAGUCUGGCCCAUGGCUAACAAGCCGGACGCCCGAGGACCCCUUAGUCCAGGACUCCCUCAGUAGCCCCUGAACCAGGCUUCAAUGACGAGGUGUUCGGCGUGCAGAUUGUCUUCGGCAUUGCAAGGCGGGUUCCCCCUCGGACGGCUUCCAGGUAAUGUAUUCGGCUUCUAAUUCAAUGCCGCAUCCGUCGGCUUCUGUGCAUCUAUGAUCUCAGCUUCCAAGUGUCGGGCGAUUGUGGACGGUCAGGGUAUUUUUUGCAAAUAACACCCCGGCCAUGCAAGAAAGAGCGUCUAUUUAAAGAGAUUGGGUCUCAGAUCCAUUCGGCGCCACACGGAGAAAACCCUCAGAGAUUGCCAGGAAAGACCAUUCCAACAUGGCUAACAUUCCCAGCACCUCUUCCCGUUCCAACCCAGAGGAAGGUGAGUGGGAGAGGUGCUCUGUGUCCCACAGUCAAUUGGAGAAGUUACAAACGCAGGGAUUUCUCCCUCCUGCAGAUGUGGUCCCUGUUUGAGCAGGGUUGGCCUCCUUCAACGGCAAAUCUCAGGCGGAGGAUUUCCCCAAUCCGUCUGCGAGGGAACGAGUGUGCUUCGUCCCUUAUUUGCCAAGGGGCGUGGGAUUUCCAGUUCACCCAUUCCUCCGAGGGCUUCUGGAGUAUUAUGGCCUCCAGCUGCACAAUUUUACCCCAGCCUCCAUCCUGCACAUUGCGGGUCAUGUCGCUUUAUGCGAACUAUUCCUGGGUUGUGAGGCCCAUUUUGAUCUGUGGAGAAAGUUGUUUUGUCUUGUCCGCGCAACCAUGAGGGAUCGAUAUUUGAAGUGGGCGGGGCCGAAAUAUGGCGUAUUGCCGAGACCGGAUACCUAUCUGGCACACCGAAGAAAGCUUCCGAAGAGUGGACCUCUGAGUGGUUUUACAUUGAUGACGUCGUACUUCCAGAUCCAGUCUGGAGAGGUCUCCCCGAGUUUGCAAGUGUUCCUCUGAGAAACACCACAACUGGCGCCCUCGGAGCCUCGAGGAGGAAGAUAGCGCGGAAGUUUGCCAACUCCUGAGCAAGAUCAGGAUGCUUGCCCAGUCCGGGUAUAUGAUAGUCGAAGUGAUGGUGACCUCCAUAGUACGGGGAGUCCAGCCACUCCAAUAUAGAGGACUUCCAAUGUGGAACUACAAUGGGGAAGAUGACACCUCCCACUGCGGCAGGAAAGGUCUGGACACCCCUGCCGCCCUAGCCAAAAUAUUGGCCGAACUGUUCAAGGGUGAGGAAGAGGAGUUCCUGCGCAUCACGCACAUAGAAGGAUAUUCCAUUUACAAUCCUUUUAGCUGGGUGAGCCCCCAACUCUUUUGCUCCACACAUUCCACUCCCCGGGCUUCGUUCACUAAAAUAUUAACCCAUCCAUUUAUAACAGCACUGACGAAAGACUUCCGAGGGGCUUCACAGCCCCGCCCCACAGCCCGAGGGCCACAACCGGGACCUUGACCCCGGAUUCGAAGAGGAUCCGGAUAUAUUUGUGGUGCUUGAGAAUGGGACGUUUUACCAAACGAGCUAUGACGGCACAGAGGUGGCCAUCAUCGUCGACUAUCCUGGUCUUCUCCCCGCUUCCCAGGUAAGUAAUCAGGAGACACUUUGUCCGAGAGGGUGUUUCUCAUACUUCCUCACCCACCGCACCAUCCUGUGCUCAGAAGGGGAGGCAUUUGGCGCGUUGUAUUGUCCCAAGGGUAUCUCCAAAGAGAGCGGCUCCCACACCGGGCAGGCCUUUGAAGAGGAAGGCAAAGAGAGAUAUGGUCAGGCCUUUCUUGAAGAGGUAUGUGUUUGCAACUAUGCUCUUUGUAGUAGUCGCAUCCAACUGUGACUCAUAUGUUCAUUUUGUAUCAGGAAAAAUGUUCGAUGGACUGUGUUUGGGGACCCGACCAGUCGUACUCCUAAUAACCACGAUUCAGUCCCCGUCGAAGAGACGGGGCCCGACAUGGGAGUGGCACCGGACUGUCCUUCUGCCGAGGGUUCGGAAAAUAUGUCCGUCACCAAUUCGAAAGUGGAGAGUGCCAUGAAUCACUGGCGCCGGAGGGCCGUUUUACGAGAUCCUCGCUUCUCAAAAGAGGCGUUCGGUGCCUUCAGCUCGGCUGAUGCAUACAUCCGAGCUGCUCGAGAUGGGCUUAACAGAGCCACCGAGUAGCAUUUGAAAGAUGUAUAGGUAAGUUUACCUUGUGCGAAUUUGGUAACCAUGUGCCAGUAGCCCCCGAGACUUGAAGCAGUUGGGACAAAUGUUUUAAGGAUCGUUGCAUAACCAGGUUCUUACGGAGAUGAACGACCUGCUAGCCCAAGAGCUGGAGAAGUGCCGGACACAGCUAACUGCCGCUACCACCGAUCUGGAAAAGUUCAAGAAGGCAUCCUCUGGUAAUAUUGUCCUCCAUCGAGAAAUGAAAAAUUAUAUGCCAGCUAUGUUAAAACUGCUGCUUGUCUCAUAACAGGAUCAUCGGACCAACUGGAAGAGGAGCUGAAGGCCGCUCAAACGUGCGAACAAGAGGCGAAGAGACAACAUGCCGCAGGCGAGCGUGUUCUGACCCGAGUCAUAGAGGAGAAAAACAAACUCCAAGAUUCCAACACCAAACUGGGCGAAGAACUGAAAGAUGUGCGAACCCAGCUAGCCGACUCCGUGAAGGAGAACAAAAAGCUGCGAGGCGACAUGUUCAGUAUGUGGCUGAAUUUAUCUUAUGACCGUUUGGAGGGAAAAUUAGCUGAUAUAGCUAUGAUUGCUGGUAUGUUAACGGGCCGUCCCGAAGAGGAGGUGUCCAGAUCAUCAAGUGAUCUUCUGCAAGGGUUGUCGCAGUUGCACGUGCAAGCCGGCAGGCAAUGUAGAGUGUAGCCAAGGCCUUAUGGCCAUCUGCCUCCCCUCCAGGAAGUAUGGAGAAACUUGUAGAGCUGUUCAAGGGAGCGUGGUGGCGUAUCCGACUAUGGAAGAUAUUGGCCUGCCGAGAGGGUGCGCGAGAGGCCUGGGCUAUGGUAAAUACGCGGUAUACCAAGCUGGAUCCGAAUCACAUGGCCCGAGUCGGACCGCUAGGGUCAAAUGGGGAAGAAAUUCCCGUUAGUUUAGUAUAUGGCCAAGUAGAGGUGGAUGCUAGAUACUCCCAACAAGAUUGUACAUUGGACCGCCUGUUGGACGGUAUAGAGGAGGAAGUUUUUAAGUCCUAAGUGACUAUGUAUUUUCCUUCUAGCUGGAUUGCAAAAUGAUUGUCAUGGCCGACCUUUUCGCUUCGAUCUCUCGACCCGAAGGUGCGGAGUGCUUCCGAAUACCUGAGCGGCAAAAUAAACCGGGGUAUGCGUGGAAACCAGGCGUAGGGGUCAUAGGUGCUUGAAUAGACAAGUUGUAUCCAGCUAGUUAUGUUAUAUUACAUUGAAAUUGUAAGAAACAUCUUCCAGAGAGAAUAGUUCCGUUAAGGGUUCCUUCCCUGGGUGUGCAUGCAUCUAUGUGCAUGUCCGGACUGUGAUGAAAAAAUCACAGUGUGUAUAACUUCUGGGGGUUCAUAAUGGAACGAGUGCAAAAAUAUCUUUAGUUCACCGACCGAAUAUUCCCUCAAGAACGCUAGCUUUUGGCUUCACCCAGUCUGAGGUACACAUCCGGAUGACCCGGCAGUAACAAUCGCAGAGGUGCUCCCUUUAUGCCCUAGCCGAACUAACGGGAACGUAGGGCAUAAGCACAGGAGCCAAGAAACCUAGCUUGGCCAAAACUUAAGUCAUAUCGAUGCAUAUAAUGGCAAAGAAAAGGUACAUAUGGGAGAAAACGCAUAUGUAAUGAGCUUUAUGCUCGAAAAAUAGAAAUAGCAAGCUUCUGUCCAAGAAUCCCCCAGGUAUGAUAGACGUACUACUUGAAGAUGUAUGAGUCGGUGGUGCACGGUCUAACCGCGCGAAAGCCUUUGAGGCUAAAGAGAAAAAACGAAAAGAGAGGAAAAAAUGAUGAAAACAAUAAGAGGAAGGAGACGAACAAAGAGUUCAGCGCUAGGCAUAGAAUCUUCGGAGUCUGGCCGCGUUCCAGGGGUUCGGCUCUAGUCGAUUGUCUGACGCAUCACACAAGUGGUACGCCCCUCCGGUGAGAACUUCAUCGAUGAUGAAGGGACCCUCCCACUUGGGCUUGAGUUUGUCCUUUUUCUUCUCCGGCAGGCGUACAACGAGUUCGCCGACGUUCUAAGUUUUGGCCCGCACUUCUCUGCUUUGAUACCCGCGAGCCUGCUGUUGAUAAAAUGCGGAAUGGGCUCUUGCGACGUUGCGCUCCUCCUCCAGGGCGUCUAAGCUAUCCUGCCGAUCGAGCUCGGCCUCUCUCUCUUCGUACAUGCGCACUCGAGGUGAGUCAUGAAUAAUGUCGCAGGGUAGUACUGCCUCUGCGCCGUACACCAUGAAAAAAGGUGUCUAUCCGGUAGUGCGAUUGGGAGUGGCCCGCAGCCCCCAGAGUACAGAGUCGAGCUCCUCAACCCAGUGCUUGUCUGAUUCCUUCAAAGACCGCACUAGUCUAGGCUUAAUGUCGCUCAUAAUAAGACUAUUGGAUCAUUCGACUUGGCCGUUUGUCUGUGGAUGAUAGACAGAGGCGUAAUCGAGCUUGAUGCCUAGAUUAGUGCACCAGGUUUUCACUUUGUCGGCUGUGAAAUUGGAGCUGUUAUCAGUGAUGAUGCUGUGCGAAACACCAUAACGGUGUACGAUGCUGGAUAUAAAGUCUAUUACUGGACCGGACUCGGCCGUUUUAACUGGUUUGGCCUCUAUCCACUUGGUGAAUUUAUCCACCAUGACUAGCAAAUAUUUUUUCUUAUGGCUUCCUCCUUUAAGGGGUCCAACCAUAUCCAGUCCCCAGACCACAAAAGGCCAAGUGAUGGGGAUUGUUUCUAGGGCGGUGGGGGGCAUAUGGCUUUGGUUGGUGAAGAGUUGGCAUCCAACGCAACGUUGGACAAGGUCCUGUGCAUCCGCUUGGGCCGUCAGCCAAUAGAACCCUGUACGGAAGGCCUUGCUAACAAGGGCUCGAGCUACGGCGUGGUGCCCGCCGAGACCGGCAUGAAUCUCAGCCAGGAGCUGCCGCCCCUCCUCCUCGGAGAUACAUCUUUGAAGGACUCCGGUAGCACUUUUCUUAUUGAGCUCUCCGUCGUGAACCUUGUAGGCCUUCGAACGCCGGACAAUGUGGCGGGCCUCAUUCUGGUCCUCAGGAAGCUCCUUCCUGUUGGUAGGCCAGGAAGGGUUCGGUCCAUGGGGCAAUGACUGCCAUGAUGAGAUGCACCGACGGUGUUAUUUCGGUGGCUGAGCAUCCGAUGAUGUCGGUGUUUUCGGAAUAUGGGGUUAUAUUCAGAUCCGGACUAGUGUUGCCGUUUUCCCCCUGCCACACCACGGAUGGCUUAAAAAGCCUUUCCAGAAAUAUAUUAGGUGGUACGGGGUCGCGCUUAGCGCCGAUACUAGCAAGAACGUCCGCCGCUUGAUUACUUUCUCGAGCCACAUGAUGGAACUCGAGCCCCUCGAACCGAGACGACAUUUUUAUGACGGCAUUACGAUAAGCUGCCAUCUUCGGAUCUUUGGCGUCGAAGUCUCCAUUUAUUUGAGAUAUUGCAAGGUUUGAGUCCCCGCGCACUUCCAGGCGUUGUAUGCCCAUGGAGACAGCCAUCUGGAGACCAUGCAGUAAGGCCUCGUAUUCGGCUGCAUUGUUGGAGUCUGUGUAUAGUAUUUGGAGUACGUACUGAACGACGUCUCUAGUAGGGGACGUUAAAACGACGCCCGCCCCUAGCCCUGCCAGCAUUUUGGAGCCAUCGAAAUACAUAACCCAAUUUGAAUAUGUGCCGUACUCUUUAGGGAGUUCGGCCUCUGUCCAUUCGGCGACGAAGUCAGCCAGUACUUGGGAUUUAAUAGCUCGACGUGGUUUGUAUGUAAUAUCAAAUGGAAGGAGAUCAAUGGCCCAUUUGGCAAUCCGGCCCGUGGCAUCGCGGUUGUUUAUAAUGUCAUUGAGUGGUACUUCGGAAGCCACCGUCAUCGAACACUCCUGGAAGUAGUGACGGAGCUUUCGGGAUGCCAUGAAGACCGCGUAUGCUAUCUUUUGAUAAUGGGGGUACCGGGAUUUGCAUGGUGUAAGGACAGUGGAUACGUAGUAUACUGGCUUCUGAAGCGGGAAUUUGUGUCCGUCCUGUUCUCGUUCAACGAUGAGCAUGGCGCUCACCACCUGAUGUGUUGCCGAUAUGUAUAAUAACAUGGGUUCCCCGACGUUUGGCGCGGCCAGGAUUGGGUUGCUCGCUAGAAGGGUUUUUAUUUCCUCCAGUCCGGUUGUUGCCGCGUCCAUCCACUCGAAGUGAUCGGUUCGCCAUAGAAGGAGAUAGAGUGGCAGUGCCUUUUCUCCCAAUCUGGAGAUAAAGUGGCUUAGAGCUGCCAUGCAACCCGCAAGCUUUUGGACUUGUUUAAGGUCUGUUGGCGUAGCCAAUUGUGACAGAGCUCGGAUUUUGGCUGGAUUUGCUUCAAUUCCUCUAUUGGAAACGAUGAAGCCCAGCAGUUUUCCAGCGGGGAUGCUGAAAACGCACUUUUCCGGAUUGAGCUCAAUGUCAUACGCGCGGAGGUUAUCAAAUGUGAGACGUAAAUCGUCUAUUAGUGUUUCGACGUGCCUAGUUUUGAUGACAACGUCCUCCACAUAAGCUUCAACUGUCUUGCCGAUCUGUUUCUCCAGGCAUGUUUGAAUCAUGCGUUGGUAUGUGGCGCCGGCGUUCUUGAGCCGGAAGGGCAUGGUGUUGAAGCAGAAUGGCCCAUGUGGGGUAAGGAAUGCUGUUGCAGCUUGAUCGGACUCCUUCAUUUUGAUUUGAUGGUAUCCGGAAUAUGCAUCAAGGAAACACAGUGAGUCGUGUCCUGCGGUAGCAUCAAUGAUUUAAUCAAUGCGGGGGAGGGGGAAGGGAUCCUUAGGGCAAGCCUUAUUGAGGUAUUUAAAAUCGACGCUCAACCGCCAUGAUUUGUCCUUCUUUGGUACCAACACCAGGUUUGCCAGCCAGUCCGGAUGUUUUAUUUCUCUGAUGAAUCCGGCCUCAAUUAGCUUGGCCAGCUCCUCCCCCAUAGCUUGGCGUUUGGGUUCGGAAAAGCGCCGCAGUGCUUGUUUAACUGGUUUGUAUCCCAUUAAGAUAUUAAGGCUAUGUUCGGCUAGCUCGCGUGGGAUUCCAGGCAUGUCAGAAGGGUGCCAGGCGAAUAUAUCCCAGUUUUCGCGAAGGAAAUCCCUUAGUGUGGCGUCGACCGUUGGGUCUAGUUGUGCUCCAAUAGAUGCUGUCUUCUUGGGGUCCGUUGGGUGGACCUGGAAUUUGACUAUUUCUUCUGCCGAUUUGAAGGAGGUGGAUUUGGGUCAUUUGUCUAAGAUCACAUCGUCCCUAUCCAUCGUGGAGCGCAGUGCGGUUAAUUCUUCGGCUGCGAGGGCUUCAGAUAAUGCCUCAAGGGCCAGGGAUGCAGUUUUGUUUUCGGCGCGGAGUGCUAUGUCCGGAUCACUGACAAGAGUGAUUAUGUCGUUUGGUCCGGGCAUUUUGAGCUUCAUGUACCCGUAAUGAGGUAUAGCUUGGAAGCGUGUAAAAGCAUCUCGCCCCAACAAGGCAUGGUAUCCGCUGCUGAAAGGAGUCACUAGGAAGGUUAUUUCUUCGGACCGAUAAUUCUCCGGUGUGCCGAAUACCACGUCAAGUGUGAUUUUCCCGCACACCGCGCCUCCCAACUGGGAAUAAUUCCUCGGAAGGUCGUGCUGCUUUGCUUGAUGCGGCUUCUGUCUAUUUCCAUCUUGUGGAGUGUAUCCUCAUAGAUGAGGUUUAGUCCGCUGUCGCCGUCCAUGAGGACCUUGGUGAGUCGAAAGCCGUCCACGAUGGGACUGAGGACUAAUGCGGCUGGUGCUCGGACUGUCCUGUAUUUUGGUUCAUCACCGGCAUUAAAGGUUAUAGCCGUGUCGUUCCAAGGGUUUAUCGCGGCGAUUUGACAGACUUCGGCGAGGUCGCGGAGUGCCCUUUUGCGCUUAUUGUUUGAAGCAAAUGUCUCGAAGACCGUCAAUACUCUGGGGUCGUCAUCUUCUGGAGGGUGUUGCUCUGGGGUGUUUUUGGUAAGGAUGUCCUCGCCGCUCUUGGCUACCUGCCGGAGUAUCCAACAUGCUCUAAGGCUGUGGGUUGGUAUGGUGUCCGGUGCUGUGUGUAUUUUGCACGGUCCAUUGAGCCAUCCCUCCAGAAUGGUUCCGUGCCGCGUAAUGGGUUUAUGUUUCUUCGCUGUUGGACUGGGCGUGUCACUGGGAUACGCCCUUUUCGCCUGGGCCAGCGAUUGAGUUGGGGCCGAUGGCUCCCAACAAGCUGCCUGAUCUUUCCAGGCGCUUUCCAUUGCGAUGUACUUCUGUACGAUAGUUGCCAAUUCAGUGAAGUGUAGUAUGCGGCGGCGAUUAAUGGCAUUGAGGAUUCCUUUGUUCGUGCAAUUGUUGCAGAACGCUGAUAUCGCGUCCUCGUCGCGGCAAUCUUUAACCUUGUCCUUCACAAGGAGGAAUCUGGCCCAGAAGUGGUGGACCGUUUCCUGAGACUGCUGUUGUAUGCUCAUCAGAGCGCUUAUGUCUGGGUGGGUGGGUGGAAUUGAAUCCGGACCCUGACCCGAUCGAUGAUCCGGAGUCUGAAGGUUUUCUGGACGUAACAGUCCGGACUCCGGAGUAUCUUCUGGUUGCUUGUGCCCGUCGUCCGAUUCUAUGUUCGGAAGGCCGGUCACCUCCUUUUGCUGGUGGGGAUCCGACUCUAUUGGGUCGGCGAUCCGGACAUAGUCCGUCUAUAGUAUAGGGGAAGAGUCGCCGUCUUGCUUCUCGACCACCACUAUCUGGUGGGUGACUGCUGGAGGGUUCCUGAGUGGAGGCCCUAGCCUUAGACAUUGGAAUUCUCUUUGUAGGUGUCUUCUUAUGCAACCCUGGCUUGGUUGCAGCAGCAGUGCCAUAUUCCUUCUUCAAGACUUUCUUUUGUAGCUUACUUCCUCCUCAACAGCCACAUAGUCCUCAUCCUCAGAAUCUGAGGUUCUCUUCUUCCUAGAUCUGGUGGCUGCCUUGGGAAAAUUACUUGGAGUUCUCCUGUUGCCCUCAUAAUAGCUGCUUGAGGGACUAGUGCCCUCACUCAUUUGCACUUGCUCUUCUGAUCUGUUCUGGCUAUCACUCUGGUCAGGCAUCUUGGCAAGCAAACUGACAGCAAACCCUGUGAAUAGAUAUAGAUGAGGUAGAGUGGAUGAGCAUCACAAAGGGCAGAGUUUUUGCAAAACAGAUGAGUCAAAAACUUAGUUUUAGUUCUCCAUAGAAAUCAUUUCGGAGCUACCAAUUUUUUAAACUCGGUGACACCGAAGCAAAUUUUGGAGUCUAAACUAGUGAACUGGGUCAGACCGAGUCACAGUUCGGUGGCUCCGAGAUUGCUAGGGUUUCACUAAGAAUUGAACUCGGUCGCACCGACUUGCAAUUUUCGGUCAGACCAAAUAACGCAUGUGCAAUGGCCUAAGCCAAAUCGGUGAGACCGAUUUCUACAACUCGGUCGGUCCGAGAUUAGUUCGGCGGAGACCUAACCCUAAAUUUUCGAAUCAAAUAUAACCUAAAGGAAGUUUUCUCUGGAUAGAUUGAUUCCAUGCGUGUUAAUGAUCAUGGCCAAGCAAUGUGCUAAGAAUCGGAGUAAGGGAUUAGCACAAAGGAUCGAACUCAUACCCUAGUUCGACGGGAGUUCGCUACAGCGACAACGACAGGGCAUAAUCCCAUUGACGGCGACGGAGACCAGUGGCGGGAGGUCGCUGGCGACGAGGAGACGAUUCGGAGACCCGAGGCGGCAGAGCAGGACACGCACGGGCUUAGGGGUUUUGAAGAAAUUUCCAACAUGUCACCCGUGGGUAUAUAUAUCUUGACCCCGUCGGUUUGACCGAGUGGAACAACUCGGUGGCACCGAGAUGCAGAAUCGCAGCGGUUACUGCAACUCAGUGUGACCAAAAAGUUCAAAUCGGUUGCACCGAGAUUGAAAACCUAGAUCAACUCAGUGAACUCGGUGUGACCGAAAUGAAUGGAUCGGUCAUACCGAAAUGCACAGAGAGGUUUUGGAAGUUUAAUUCUAUGACGAAUCGGGGACUCUGAGUGCUCCUCACACAGAGUGGUUCGAAUCUGACUUGAUCAAACUUUGUGAUGUAGCAUGAAUAGAGUUUGAGACGAGAAAAGCAUAGAUAGCUAGAGGAGGUACUUAGGCAUUCUUGUCCAUCCACUUGGCAAAAGAGAAAAAGCCAAACAAUCAAAGCAACAAGUGGAUGUCCUCGAAUGAAUAAAAUAUGCAAUUAACAUGCUCACACAAUAAAAUGGCAAAUGAAAUAUGUGACAAAUCAUGUACAAACACUCUAGCAUCUAUCAAGCAAUUGACGAUGACUAGGUCAUCUAUAUAUGAGUAUAUUGACUUAGGAGUCAAAUGAGAACAUUUGAUCAUAGGUCAUACUCAUCGUUUAAGCACAAGUGGGGUUACCACUUUUACAUAAAGCAUUGUUGUGUUCACAUCAUUAGAGUUGCUUUAGCUCAAUUGAUUAGAGUAAAGCUCCCCCUAGAUGUGAUAUCCCCCCUAAGAGGGAUGAACUAACCUUGGGUUUUGUCGAUGAUGACUUCAUGUAGAUUUUGAAGAUGUGGAUGCUCAAUGUUGAUGUAGAUCAUUUGGAGCAAUCCAUUGGAGUGAGUUGCACUUUCAAUACCUACACGGGUUAGUCCCACAAGGAAUAAACAAGGAUAUCCAUAGAUAAAGAGUGAUAUACACAUAGAUGAUGUCCAUGAAAGCAUUAGGUUACCUUGUCCCUUGUCUUACCAACAAGAGGGUUUGUGACUCCCUUAACUAGUGCAAGAUGUGGAAGUUGUUUGCACUUGUCCUUGCCAAAAUGAUAUGAGUGAAGUAUAUUGGCAGAGUCACCCUCAAGAACUCUCUAGUUCUUCUUCUUCAGGAUCCACAUCAUCUUGAUGGGAAUCCUUGGAGUUGUAGUCGUACUUGAUGAAGUGGAACUUGAUGUAGUCUUGGGAACCCACUUGACCAAGGCCUUGGGAGCUUCUUCAAAUGCAUCAAUCUCCUCUUGAAGAUUGUCCUUGCCUUUUUGCUUAUGGUCUUGUGGUGGAAGAUCAUCUUGAGCUUGUGUCCCUUGGAAAAAAGUAGGAUCAUACUUCUCUUGUUGAGCAACAAACUUCAUCUUGGGGUAUUGAUCUUCUUCCCACUCAACUCCAUUGGCAUUGAACUUUCGUUCAAAACCAACACCUUGAUUCUUCCGGUGCCUUCCUUGCUUGCGUACAAUUUCCUCAAAUUGCUUACUUCUGGCAAGGCUCUUGUAAACACCUUUCUCUAUAAUUCCCUUCAAUAAGCUAUUUUCUUGCUCAAGUGUAACUUGGCUAAGAGAAUCAUUAGUGGAAUCAAGAGAACUACUAGAAGCAACAACAUUGAAUUUAGCAUGAUUAUUGUUACUACUAGAUGAAGAAUCUUUCUUACUUUUGUUGCUAGAUCAAGAGAAUCUUUCACCAACAUGAGCUUGAUGUCUUCGUUUUGUGUAGCUACUUGAUGACUUGUCCUUCCUUUCCGAAUCCUUGCUUCUCCGAGCGGUUCUUCGUUCAUAACGAUCAUCUCUACUCCUCCUCUCUCUAGGUGGUGAUUAUUCUCUUCUACUUCUCCUUUUGGGUGAAUCUUCUCUUCUUUUGUAGGGGGUCGUACACUCAUUGGAGUAGUGUCUAGGUCUUCCACAAUUGUAGCAAUUACGCUCAUGACUCGAAGAUCUUUUGUCAUUGUAGGACCUUGACCUGGAACUUCUUUCCUUGCUUCUACUCUUGUAGAACUUGUUGAAAUUCUUCACCAUUAGGCUCAAUUCCUCAUUGAAGGUUUGUUUCUCACUUGAUGAUGUAGGAGCAUCACAUGAGGCUUUGUAAGCACCACUUGACUUGUUGUGAAGCUCUUCCUUAUCCUUGAGUGACAUCUCAUGAGCAACAAUUCUUCCAAUGGCCUCCGUUGGCUUGAGAUAUUUGUAAUUGGGCAUCAUUUGGAUCAAUGUGCACACGGUAUCAUAUUUUCCAUCCAAGGAUCUUAGGAUCUUCUUGAUGAUGAAUAUAUCGGUCAUCUAUUCACUUCCUAACCCAGCAAUCUCAUUUGUGAUGAGAGCAAGCCUAGAGUACAUUUCAGCGACACCUUCACCAUCCUUCAUUUUGAACUUGUCAAGUUGACUUUGGAGCACAUCCAAUUUGGAUUCCUUGACGGAGUCGGUACCCUCGUGCAUAUCAAUCAAAGUAUCCCAAAUUUCCUUUGCAUUCUCAAGACGGCUGAUUUUUUUUGAAUUCUUCGAGGCACAAUCCGUUGAAGAGGAUAUCGCAAGCUUGAGCAUUGUAUUGCAGCAUCUUCAACUCUUCCACGGUAGCUUCACGGUUCGGUUCUCUCCCAUCAAAGAAUUCACCUUGCAAGCCAAUACACACAAUAGCCCAAAUGGCGGGGUUAUGUCCAAGAAUAUGCAUUUUCAUCUUAUGCUUCCAACUAGCAAAAUUAGUACCAUCAAAGUAAGGACCUCUACGGUGAUAAUUUCCCUCGCUAGACGCCAUACUCUCCAAGGUUGUGAAACCAAGGAUAUGAUCACCAUAAGCUAUGGAAAUCAACGCAAAUGGAGACCAAAUCUCUGAUACCACUUGUAGGAUCGUAAGUAUGUCUAGAGGGGGGUGAUUAGACUACUUGACCAAAUAAAAAUCUAGCCUUUUCCCAAUUUUAAGUCUUGGCAGAUUUUAACAACUUUAGAACAACUCAAGCAAUCAACCUACACAUGCAAAUCUAAGAGUAUAGCAACAGAAUGUAAAACAUUUCAUAUGAAGGUAAAGGGAGGAGUUUGGAGGGAGCAAACGCAAUGUAGACACGGAGAUUUUUCCCGUGGUUCCGAUAGGUGGUGCUAUCGUACAUCCACGUUGAUGGAGACUUCAACCCACGAAGGGUAAUGGUUGCGCGAGUCCACGGAGGGCUCCACCCACGAAGGGUCCAUGAAGAAGCAACCUUGUCUAUCCCACCAUGGCCAUCGCCCAUGAAGGACUUGCCUCACUAGGGUAGAUCUUCACGAAGUAGGCGAUCUCCUUGCCCGUACAAACUCCUUGGUUCGACUCCACAAUCUUGACGGAGGCUCCCAAGUGACACCUAACCAAUCUAGGAGACACCACUCUCCAAAAGGUAAUAGAUGGUGUGUUGAUGAUGACCUCCUUGCUCUUGUGCUGCAAAUGAUAGUCUCCCCAACACUCAACUCUCUCUCAUAGAUUUGGAUAUGGUGGAAAGAUGAUUUGAGUGGAAAGCAACUUGGGGAAGACUAGAGAUCAAGAUUUAUGUGGUUGGAAUGGAAUAUCUUGGUCUCAACACAUGAGUAGGUGGUUCUCUCUCAGAAAAUGUUUGCUGGAAGUGUAGGCACGUUCUAAUGGCUCUCCUCACGAAUAAAGGAAGGGUGGAGGGGUAUAUAUAGCCUCCACACAAAAUCUAACCGGUACACACAAUUUACCAAACUCGGUGGGACCGAAUCAGAAAACUCGGUCAGACCGAUUUAGUUCAUAAUGUGACCAUUAGGCAUUUCGGUGGGACCGAUGUCAUUAGGGUUAGGGCAUAACGUAAUCUCGGUGAGACCGAUUACACAAACUCGGUGGGACCAACUUUGGUAAUAAGCUAACAAGAGAGUUGGUCAGGCAAACUCGGUGGGACCGAUUCGCUCAUUUCGGAGAGACCGAAAUGUUACGAAGGGGAAACAGAGAGUUUGCAUUGCAAACUCGGUGGGCCCGAUCGCUCAUCUCGGUUAGACCGAAACGUUACGAAGGGAAACAGAGAGUUUGCAAUCCCAUCUCGGUGAGACCGAGAUCCCUAUGGGUGAGACCGAAGUGACUAGGGUUUCUCGCAGUGGCUAUGUCAAGUGAACUCGGUGGCGCCGGAUAGAUCAAAUUGGUGGGGCUGAGUUUGACUUUUGGUUUGGGACAUAUGUGGAAAUGAGAAAGUGGUUGAGGGUUUGUGGACCAUAUCACUAAUUAUUUUGAGCAAGUAAGCCAUUAAGCAAUACCUCAUCCCCAUUUAAUAGUAUUGGCUUUUCCUAUGGACUCAAUGUGAUCUUGAAUCACUAAACUAAAAAUGUAGAGUCUUGAGCUUGAGCCAAUGUGUGUCCUUAGCAUUUUGAGGGGUCCACAUUUCUAAUACAUGCCAUGCCAAUCAUUGAACUUCCUGAAAUAUUCAUCUUGAAGUAGCAUUAGUUCAAUGAGCUAUAUGUUGUUAGUAAUUACCAAAACCACCCAGGGAUAGUUGCACUUUCAAAAAUAGCUCCAGGAGCGACCUUGUAGCCACCCUAUUGACAUAGUGAUCAUGCGGAGACCCCGCAAAGCAGGACUAGGGGUGUUAUCUCCUAGGAGAGCCCCGAACCUGGGUAAGAUGCUUCGGCGUGCAUGUCUACGCCUUAUCCCGUUUCCAGGCACCGGCGACGUAUUACUCUGCCCCACCAUGAUAAGCCAUCCUUUGGCAUAUGUCGCACGACACCCCCGGCAUACUUUUCGUUGAAGUCCGCAUGCCUUUGGACGUCGCCGGUGGCAUUUGGACGUCACCGGUGAAGGUGGUGUCGACGAUCGAGCGGCCUCGUUUAUCAUGGCAUCCCGGUGCCAACGACGCGAAGCUGACAAUGCUGGCAUUGAUCAGGUACGCCACCGCCUGCGCCCCCUCCUCCUCCGUGAUCGCGUCAAAGAGGUGGUUGUGGUUCCCCUCAUUGACACAGAGAUGCCAUCCCUCGCGGCAUAUGGUGUAGGCGUUACGCACGGAAUCGAGCACCGCCCGCCGCUUAUCUACGAAACGAGGAUCUGCCAAAAGCAUGGCCGCGACAACCCGAUUGGACGCAUGCUCGUCCUCGAUCUGGCCUUCCGCCAACCAGGGCUCCGAGAGGAGUUAUAGGCUGUAGCACCACUCCUCAUGUAGCAUCUGAAGCGCAGACACUGGCGGUGCUGCUCCUCCUGCUCUGCCAUGACGCGGUUGUAGUGCGCCUCCGCCUGCUGCAGGAUGAACCCGGUCACCGACGCGAGCGCUUGCUCCGCCUCCAUCGCAGAAUCCUCGUUGUCCGAGUUAUCCUGCCGAAAUGCGAUGCGCCGGGCUUCCCAAUUGUGCACCUCAAGCGCGAUUUCGUGACGGUGUUAGGAUCUUCCACCACCCACGGCACAUCCCAAAAGUUGUGUCAGCGGUCGACGAAGGAGGAAGGAAAGGGGGUGGCGUGCCUACGGCUCGGAUGGAGGGAGACAGGGCCCGGAUGGGUUGAGUUUUCUGCCGUGCUCGACCAUCUUUAAAUGGCAUGCGCCUGAGCAAGUGGAGCGACCCGCAACUUGAAUGCGGGUGCCUGGAGUUGGCUUAUCUGUAAUCAAGCCGGUGUGAAUGUCAGGUGGGUGUACAUAUGAUCAGCUAGUUUGGAUGCGGUAGGAAGUCAUCUCGUCGUCCCGCUUGUCAAGUAGGCUCUGAACAUGUGUUAACGUGGCGAGGAGAGCGAUUAUACACAGCGCGAGCAACGGGUCAGAGUUGGCUUAUCAUUCAUUGCGCUAGUGUGGGUGUCAAACAGGCAGACGAACGGCCAGCCGGCUUGAAUGUGAUAAGAAGUGACCCCAUCUAGUCAAGUUGGCUUCCAGACUGACAUGAAUGUGACACCGAGAGUGAAGUGGCGGUUGACGCGGAACGGCGCAACGAGGGUUUUGUGUGGGUCAGGGGAUUCAGACGCCUACAUGGCAAAUGUUCGGAAACCCUCAAACCUCUCUGCUUUUGCUUCCGGUAUGUGAAAUUUCUAAUGGCUCGUAGUCCGCUCGAAUUUGAUGCACGGUGUUAGAUGACUAAAAGUACUGCGAUCCAAACAUUUGAUAGCAUUUUGGUGAACCGCAUUUGAGUUUUCCUUAGAGCAUUUACAAUCAGACUCCUUCUGACCGAGUGACAACCCGGUCAGUGACCAGUCAGUUUUCUCCGACCCAUACGGCCUCCUCAAAUGGCCCCUAUACAUCCGGGCUGAUCGACAUCUCCAUAUCGAACACAUAUCUUGAGCGGAUAUGAGGAGGCCCAUCCCAUCCGCCACAUCUGACCGGCCCAUAUUGGCCCGCAUCGACCCCACCGUCCCCUAAAAUAUCCUCACCCGGACCAUACCCUACCUUGCUCUCUCACUCUCCGCUCCCCUCCCCAUCGAUUCCCCUUCCCUCUCUUUCACUUCCUCUCUCAAUGUAGAGCACCAGCAGCGCCUCAGGCAGGGAUCCGAUUGCGAGGAUGACCCCAUCGAUUUGGACGCCCUUGUCCGCGAGGCGGAGGUGGAUGAUGUUGAGGGGCUCGCUGUUCGCAUCAUGCUGCAGCAUUUUGAUGACCCACAAGUAUAGGGGAUCAAUCAUAGCUCAUUUUGAUAAGUAAGAGUGUCGAACCCAAUGUGGAGCAGAAGGAAAUGACAAGUAGUUUUCAGUAAGGUAAUGUCUGCAAGUGCUGAAAUUGUAAGUAGCGGAGUAGUUUGAUAGCAAGAUAAUUUGUAAUGAGCAAGUAACGAUAAUAGUAAAAAAAGUGCAGCAAGGUAGCCCAAUCCUUUUUGAGGCAAAGGACAGGCCAAAACAGUCUCGUAUGAUAAGCAACGCGUUCUUGAGGGUACACGGGAAUUUCAUCUAGUCACUUUCAUCAUGUUGGUUUGAUUUGUGUUCGCUACUUUGAUAAUUUGAUAUGUGGGUGGACCGGUGCUUAGGUGCUGUUCUUACAUGAACAAACCUCCUACUUAUGAUUAACCCUCCCGCAAGCAUCCGCAACUACGAGAAAAGUAUUAAGAAUAAAUUCUAACCAUAGCAUUAAACUUUUGGAUCCAAUCAGUCCCUUACGAAAUAGCGCAUAAACUAGGGUUAAGCUUCUGUCACUCUCGCAACCCACCAUCUAAUUGCUAAUCCACAAUGCAUUCCCUUAGGCCCAAAUAUGGUGAAGUGUCAUGUAUUCAACGUUCACAUGACACCACUAAGGGAAUAAAAACAUACAUACUAUCAAAAUAUCUAACACAUAUCAAGUUCACAUGAUUACUUGCAACAUGAUUUCUCCCGUGACCUCAAGAACAAAAGUAACUACUCACAAAUGAUAAACAUGCUCAUGAUCAGAGGAGUAUUAAAUAGCAUAAUGGAUCUGAACAUAUAAUCUUCCACCAAAUAAACCAUAUAGUGAUCAACUACAAGAUGUAAUCAACACUACUAGUCACCCACAAGCACCAAUAAAUAGUUCCGGUAACAAGAUUGAACACAAGAGAUGAACUAGGGUUUGAGAUGAGAUGGUGUUGUUGAAGAUGUUGAUGGAGAUUGCCCUCCCCAAGAUGGGAGAGUUUUGUGAUGAUGAUGACGAUGAUUUCCCCCUCCAAGAGGGAAGUUCCCCCGGUGGAAUCGCUCCGCCGGAGGGCAAAAGUGCUCCUGCCCAAGUUCCGCCUCGAGACGGCGGCGCUCCGUCCCGAAAGUCUCCCCUUAUUUUUUCUAGGUCAAAAUUACUUAUAUACCAAAAGAUGGGCAUCGGAGGUGGGCCGAGGAGGCCACAACCCACCAGGGCGCGCCUGGGGGGCCUGGCGCGCCCAGGUGGGUUGUGCCCACCUGGUGGCCCCCCUUUGGUGUUUAUUGGCUCCAAUAUUUCUUAAAUAAUCCAUAAAAAGUCUCCGUGAAGUUUCACCUCAUUUGGAGUUGUGCAGAAUAGGUGGCCUGGCGUAGCUUUUCCAGGUCCAGAUUUCCAACUGCGAGUAUUCUCCCUCUUGGUGUGUUCCUUGUAAAUUAUGAGAGAAAAUGCAUCAGAAUUACUCCAAAAAGCAUUAUUAUGGAUAAAAAUAUUAUAAAUAACAGUAAGAAAAAUGAUGCAAAAUGGACGUAUCAACUCCCCCAAGCUUAGACCUGGCUUGUCCUCAAGCAAAAACCGAAAUCGAAGAACAUGUCCACAUGCUUUGAGAGAGAGGUGUCGAUAAAAACAAAAUACGGACAUAGAAGCAUCAUGUUGAUUAUUAUAACAACAACAAAAU